UGACAACACAUAAUAGCCAUGUGAGAGAAGAGAAAGGGCCAUGUGAUGUAUUUGUCCAGGGAUAGAGACAGGUGGAAUGAACUGAUGUAUUUUCUGCAUGUACAUUUGGUAGAGGGAGCAAGAUACUUUUUUAAAAUAGGAGCUGUGACUUCACAGAAUUUUUUUUUUUUUCUUCAUAUUUGGUUACGCAUUUCCCAUUAAUUAAAGAGAGUGUAUAGAUCAACAUUUUGAAUUAAUUAUAAAGAUAAUGCAUUUAAAAAUUGGACAAGGAGAGGUAAACCCCACAAACAAAGCUUCAUCUAAAUGAAGUUGUUAUGGUGCCAGGAGCACCCCAGGUGCUGUACGUUAAAUGGACAAUAUAGGCACUAAAAUAAAUUUAGUUUAAUGAUGCAGUUUAUGUGUAUAGACCAUGCCCCUGCAGUCUCAACGCUCAACUCAAUGCAAUUUAGGAGUUAAAUCACUUUCAUUUUAAUCUCAUGCAGCCCCAGUCACACUUCCCUGCAUGUGAUUUGCACAGCCUUCAUAAACACUCCCUGAAACAUUACCUAGAUAUUGUAGGUCCCUGUAUUGCACAUUCUGUUUAAUUUAGAAUUUCCUGCUCUGUCAAUAGCCUCAUAGACCCUGCAGAAGUCUCCUGUGUGUGAUUAAAGUUCACUUUACUGAGCAGGAGGUAAAAACAAAAAAAUGUUAAAGCAGGUUAACAUCUGAUAAUCUGAAAAUGAAACCAUAUUUCCAUGCAGGCUGUGUGAGUCACAGCCAGGGGUGGACUGUCUAGGGCUGCAUAAACAGACAUAAAUGGCAGAUAAUUGAGCGGUUAGACUGCAGGGGCAUGAUCUACAGUCAUGGGGAAAAGAAAGUACACCCUCUUUGGUUUUACAUAUUAGGACAUAACAAUCAUCUGUUCCUUAGCAGGUCUUAAAAUUAGGUAAAUGAAACCUCGGAUGAACAACAAAUGACAUAUUACACUGUGUCAUGAUUUUAUUUAACAAAAAUAAACCCAACAUGGAGAAGCCAUGUAAAAAACUAAGUACACCUUAUAAUUCAAUAACUUGUAGAACCACCUGUAGCAGCAAUAACUUUGAAGAAAUAAUUUUCUGUAUGAGUUUAUCAAACUCUUACAUUGUUGUGGAGGAAUUUUGGCCCACAGUUCUUUACAAUGUUGCUUCAGUUCAUUGAGGCUUGCUGGCAUUUGUUUAUGCACAGCUCUCUUAUGUUCCUGCCACAACACUUCUAACGGGUUGAGGUCUAGAUUUUGUAACACCUCGAUGCUUUUCUCUUGCAGCCAUAAUGUUGUAGAUUUUCUGUUGUGCUUCGGAUUAUUGUCCUGUUGCGUGACCCAAUUAUGGCCAAGCUUGAGUUGUCGAACACAUGGCUUCACAUUUGACUCGUAAAAACAUAGAAUGUGACAGCAGAUAAGAACCAUUCAGCCUAUCUAGUCUGCCCAAUUCUCUAAAUACUUUCAUUAGUCCCUGGCCUUAUCUUAUUUUAGCAUAGCCUUAUACCUAUCCCACGCAUGCCUGAACUCCUUUACUGUGUUAAACUCUACCACUUCAGCUGGAAGGCUAUUCCAGACGCAUGCAGGCACAGCUCCCACUCUGCACGACACUCAAACCGACUAAGAGAUGAUUUACAGACUAGAAACUAUACAAAACGAGCUACCGGCACAAAGGUGAAGUGAAGCUGAAUCUUCUGAUACCACACACAAAGCUAUUGCAGCUGAGGCCUAGCAUGACAAGCAACCUGAUUGCUGGGGGAGGCGGCCGACCUCCCGACACAGGGCCAGCACCACAUGGCAGCUCUCUUGUUCCCCUCAACCCCCCCCCCAUGGACCGGUGGGGGAUAUCCCGGUCCACGCUGGAAACACAUUCUCUCCUGACAAGGGGAAAAUCACUGUCUAAUGUUAAGCCACGCAAGGCGCCAAAGAUGGCCGCCAUGCAACACGCGGAGCAAACCACGGAGGAUCCGGGGCUCCAGCAAUGGAGACGGCGUUUUGAGGCCAGGUUCAAUCAAAUUUGCCAAGCAUUCUGGAGAAGCCUACAGCAAAGGCCCCCAUCGCAAGUCUCAUACAGCAGGAGAAAGUACCGGCGGCGGUCUGUCCGCCCCACUCCAGGCGAGGGACCCACGCUGGGGCGCUCCCACUCCGACGUCCUUCCAGCCGGAAGACUCCUCACAAGUCAACUUGCCCCAAGAACCUGGCAUACGCUGCACUUCAAUCACCCAGGCGACACUUCACAAAGCAGCGGACAAAUAGGAAGCAGCGGAGAGUUGCCGGUUACAACCAGCAAAGAAAUCUAUACUACAGACUUACCUCUGACCACUCAGACCAAGCGGAGGUCCACCGUAGAGACCCGAGCGGCAACUCCCAUCAAUGGGCCACCCAUCAAGCGCAGGGACCCGCCACAGAGGAGAACAGAGAAGCCGCCUAACUCUUCACAUGCCCUAAGAGCUUCCCCAGUCAGGGGAUUGGCUGAGUCAGGCUAUCCAAGGACAGCGGACUGUGUUACCUAGCUACGAAUCCGCCAUGAUCUCGAUGGACACCAUCUUACCUUAAACACUUUACCCAGCCGUAAGGACUAAAACCGUAUUCCAGCGGUCACCUUACUCAGUAAGCGCAGACAGUAUGUCUCAACUCGUAUUCUUAAAGCAUGCUGUUAACCCUGUUUUUACUUACCACUCAAAUGUCUAGCCAACCCACACUGAAAGUAGAAUCUAGAGUAAUAUAACGUAGAGCCUAGAGCUGAAAUAUAUUACCUAUGUUUUUCUUCUUUUUUUUUUUUUUUAAUUCUUUAUUUUUCUUUGUGCAUGGAGUAACAAAUCAUUUGUAAAUGCCACAGCAGCAUAUUUAAAACAUGUGAACACAGUAGCUGUACAUUUAUGGCAUAAGAGUAUCAGCACAAUUUUUAAUUGUUGAGUUAAGAACAAGCUAAGCGUAAUGCAAGAUUAACCCACGUUUGUUAGUAGCAGGAGUAUUUGCACAUUCGUAGAGUAUUAACCAGCUUAAUUAGAUGAUUAUACUGUCAGAAUAGAUAUAUGUAAGACAAUUGAGAAUAAGUAAUGCUUAACAGUUAUAGGUUAACUACGUUAGUACCAGUGAGAUGUGGUAACAUGCUUUCAUGUUUCAGGGUUAGGAUACGUUGAGGCUCUGACACAUAAAGAUUUAUAAAGCAUGAGAACAUAUAUGUUAAAGUAGGCCGCUGAUCACUAGCUAUGCAUAUUGGGUAAAUCUGUAAACAGGUAGAUCUGAGCAAAUGAAUAUCAUAAGUUAUAGUUACAAAUAACACCAGGAUAUUCAUGCUUAUAUAUCGUAUGGUCCUGUUAGGGAGUAGUAUUCAGAGUAGUGAGAGAGAUGGGAAAACAUGACUGGUAUAAUUUUUACUUUAGCACGACUGUAUAAUAGGUACAUGUUAAGUAAGUCAGUGCCCUCGUUGGUGUUGUUUAAAGAUCCCCUGUUACCCGGGGAGGGGGGGAGAUUUCGAAUGGCUUUACAUAAGUGGCUAUAACGUGCCCUUGGUUGCCAGCACUAGUGUGAGUUCUGCCAUAAAAUGUCGGCAUUAAAAUUUUAACAUAUAUACAUCGUAACUGGUUCGUGAGUCCAGGGGGUGCAGCGGGUGAUGCUGUUUAAAGUAAACUGGUCUGGAUACUAGGUAGCUUCAAGACUGCGUCAGGCGUUGGUUGCCGCGGUGAUCGCUGUUUCGGCUCUUCUAGGGACGAAUGGGAUCGCUGUUGCGGGAUUCCAAGCGGUGCUGUGUGCCAGCGUGGUUCUGUUCUCCGGUGGAGGAUGAGCGAGCGGGGGAAGUCCCAGGGUCGGUAGCAGUUCAUUUGCCUCUUGUAAGUCCUGGAUGGUAGAGGUCGCAUUCCCGUGGUGGAUUAACAGUGUGCGCGAACCUCUCCAAUGGUAGGUGAUUUUAUGUUGGCGUAGGAGGGCUGUAAAGGGUUGAAGUGUGCGUCUCCACGCCAGGGUGGGCCCCGACAAGUCCGCGUAAAAAGAUAGCUGCAUAUUUUCAAACGGAUACGGUGAUUGGUUCCGCGUAGCCUGCAUUACCGCCACCUUGUCUCCGUGAUUUUGGAAGCAAGCCAGGAGGUCUCGUGGGGCCUUUGGUGGGGCCUUGGCUGCUCGUGGUAGGCGAAAUACAUUUUCGAUGGGUACCUGUCUGGCUUGCUUGUGAUGUAAAAGUGACUGCAUUAGUCUCCGCAAUGUGUGUGGGAGUUCAUACUCCGGUAUCUCCUCUCCUAUGCCUCGGAUUUUUAUGUUCCGGCAGCGACUCAGAUCCUCUAAGGCUGCUAUGCGCUGCUCGUAUGUGGAUUGCUGUAAUUUGAUCUCCUGGACCGUUUGUUGUAGGGCUUGAGUGUGUUGUUUGGUGCACUGGGAGUCUGCCUCCAGUGUGCCCAGCCGGCCCGUUAGGCCUUGUAGGUCCUUGCGCAGUUGGGCCAUGUCGGCCUGUAUGGUUAGUCGGAGAUCUGCUAGGAGGUCUUUCAUGACAGUAACGGUCACUGGUGAGGAGUCUGCUUGCGGGGGUGACUUGCAAGGUGGUAUUUCCUCAUGUGGGUGCUCCAUCUCAGUCUCUGUGGUGAAAUCAUCACAGAUAUCCGAGCCGUAGUCGUUGUAAGCGGCCAUGUUGGGGCCUUGGGCGCUAAGCGCCAGCUUCCACAUGUCGCCAAUGCUGUGGUGCUGCCGCGGGUUGUCGGGCUUAGAUUUUUUAGUUUUGCGGCCCAUAUCGUUGGUAGAUGCCUGCAGGUCGUUUUGGCACCGGUUUCGUUGGGCUGGGUUCGUGUUAGCUGGUCCAAACUACUCUUUUGCAGCGGAGCUCGCUUGGCAUGCGGCCAUUCAGGUCAGUUGCUUGGCUCCGCCCCCCGUUUUUCUUCUUUUUGUUCCUUCUUGGUGUUGCAUGACGUUCAUGCCAUGUAUAGCCUAACCCUGCUUAAGCAUCCUUAGCACCUACUGUUUAUUUUAAAUACUCUAACAUAAAGAGAGGAUUGUGUAAUCUCGUGGUUUUGGACAGCAUGUUCACCAAGUAACAAACUAUUACUGGGUUUUCAGCCCUCUUCUAUGCUAUUUGCAUCCUGAGCUAUGUCAGCACACUGAAUACUCAUACUCACGUUAUUUAACUUACUUUAGCACGGAGCAAGUGGCAUUUUUGUUAAUUUCUUUUGUUCAUUUUGAAGUAAUAAUCUCUACCCGGUGUCACUGCUAGCUAGGUGUGUUUGGGCAUUGGGAGAUAAAUCGAAGUGCAUGCACCCGCUUGUAGAUAUAUUUUGAGAUGGGAAAUACCUGUUAACCUGUGCACCUGAAGAAUGUUGGUGCUACUUCUAAGUGCUGUUUCUAAGUGUGUAGUUGGAGAUAUUCAGGAGAGUUUUACAGAAGCUUCAACUGUCUAAGAGUUGUGCUAAGAGCUUUCUUUUCUACUGUUACAGGUAAGAUUCAUCUGUAGGAAAAGGUUACUGAUUGCCCAAGGUUUGAAUUCCUGUUGGUAAUUAUAAGGCAUUUGAUUUGAUUAAGCUAGUUACUUGCUGUUGAUUGCUGGUUAAUUAGCUAUUGUUUGCAAAUAAGCAGAGGCCUACCCAGGUGUUAAACAUUCCUAGUGGGCGGUGAUUUAAGGAGUUAUAUAAGGCUUGGUCUCAUUAGCUUGUCUAAUAUAGCUUGGUGCUACUUCCAAGUGCUGUUUCUAAGUGUCUAGUUGGAGAUAUUCUGGAGAUAACCUGGAGGUAAUCUGAGGUAUUCAGGAGGAUAAAGAAAAAAGUUAAGAUUUGUUAGAUUUAAAUUAUUCUCAUAAUUGGAAUGGCAGGCUUAGUUCAGUGUAACAAUUGCUAUGCAUUUGUUUCACGUUCCACUUUUUGGAGGUUUGGUUGUUGUCUAAUCUGUAGACAGUUCUCUAUCUUGCGGCAGGAGAUUGUAUUUUUGAAGUCUGAGAUUUGUAAAUUAUCUGGUGUAGAAACUCAGACUGGAACUGCUGCAAAGCCACUGCCGCAGAGACAUGCUAGGAAAGGCAGAUGGAUUACUGUAGGAUCUGGUAGACUUAGAGUUGUGGAUAAAAGGCAUUUUGCACAGUCUGUUGCUCUUCAUAAUUCAUUUUCUGCACUUUCAGAGUGUAAUGGUGUUGUGGAGAGAGGCACUGAGGCUAGUGGUGUUGUGGAGAGAGGCACUGAGGCUAGUGGUGUUGUGAGAGAGGCACUAAGACUAGUGGUGUUGUGGAGAGAGGCACUGAGGCUAGUGGUGUUGUGGAGAGAGGCACUGAGGCUAGUGGUGUUGUGGAGAGAGGCACUGAGGCUAGUGGUGUUGUGGAGAGAGGCACUGAGGCUAGUGGUGUUGUGGAGAGAGGCACUGAGGCUAGUGGUGUUGUGGAGAGAGGCACUGAGGCUAGUGGUGUUGUGGAGAGAGACACUGAGGCUAGUGGUGUUGUGGAGAGAGGCACUGAGACUAGUGGUGUUGUGGAGACCGGCUUGGAGACUAUGGUGAGGCCUAAUAGAAAGCAGUUGUUGUUGGGUGAUUCCAUUAUAAGAGUUGUGGAGAUGGACAAUGGUGGUCUUGUGAGGUGUCUUCCCGGAGCUACUGCUCACAGAGACAGGAGACGUAUCUGUAAUAUUGUUAAGCAAGCAAAGCAGGAAGGGGAAUUGGAUGUACUUGUCCAUCUAGGGACAAAUGACUUGGCUUGCAAUGAGGUUUCAGAGGUUAAGGAAGUUUUAGUGUUUUUGCCAAUGAUAUACGGCAGGUUGCUUCCACACUGUCAUUCUCUGAAGUUCUGCCUGUGCAUAACACUCAGAACGACAGGCAGAUGCGUAUUAGGGACUUUAACUUGUGGCUUGGUGAAUGGUGUCGGGAGCAAGGAUUUGGCUUUAUUUCUCAUGGUAGCUCUGUUUGGAAUGGAAAUAAACCGUACAAAAAAGAUGGUUUGCAUCUUUCUCAAAAGGGAACAAAUGUUCUCAGUGAGCAGUUCAGAGGUUUUGCUAGGAUGUAUUUAAACUAGGAGGGGGGGGCAAAAGGGUGAUAAAACAUCAAUCCAAUUGUCCCCAAAAACAAGGACAGAAGGUGCCUGUAGCAAGUGUGUUAAAAAAUGAUAAGCUAAGAGUCAUGUCUACAAAUGCUCGCAGUUUAGGGAAUAAGAUCCAUGAACUUGUGGCAAUAAUGGCAACUGAUAGUGUAGAUUUAGUCGCUGUUACCGAGACAUGGUACAAUGAGAAAAAUGACUGGGACAUAGCAAUACCAGGGUACUCUUUAUAUAGGAAAGAUAGGGAAGGCAAGAAAGGGGAGGGGUGGCCUUGUAUGUGAAGGAUAGCAUAAAAUCUAGCCUAAUAAAAGUUAGUGAGGCAAACAUAGAGUCCGUUUGGGCUACGCUAGAAUUUGGUAAUCACACAGUAACUCGUGUAGGUGUGAUUUAUAGGCCCCCAGGACAAAUUGAAGAGUUAGAUAAUCUACUAGUUGAGGAAAUAGCUAAAAUGACAAUGAAGGGGGAAGUUAUCAUCAUGGGUGACUUUAAUCUUCCUGAUGCAAAUUGGAAAACAAAAUUAGCUACUUGUGCCAGGAGCACACAUAUUCUAAACUCCCUACUGGGAUUGUCUCUAAAACAAGUUGUUGAGGAGCCAACUCGUAAAGAGGCCAUACUAGAUUUAGUGUUAACAAAUGGAGAUUUGGUAUCAGAUGUUACUGUAGGUGAAAGUUUAGGAUCCAGUGAUCAUCAGUCAGUGUGGUUUAAUAUAAGAACAGUGACUGAGUCACACCACACAAAAACAAAAGUUUUAGACUUUAGAAAACAGACUUUUCUAAAAUUAGAAUAUGGGUAGAGGAGUCAUUAUCAGACUGGAGCAAUUUAAAUGGAGUCCAAGAAAAAUGGGAUUAUUUAAAAGUUGCACUAUUGAAGGCAACAGAAAAUUGCAUUAGGCUUGUCAGUAAAAGCAAAAAAUUCAAGAAACCACUGUGGUACUCCGCAGAUGUGGCCAAAAUAGUUAAAAACAAAAAGUUAGCAUUUAGGAAUUAUAAAAAAACCCAGAGUGAGGAAGACAAAAUGAUCUAUAAGAUUAGGCAGAAAGAGGCUAAGCAAGUUAUAAGAGCUUCCAAAUCACACACAGAAGAGAAAAUAGCACAGUCAGUAAAAAAGGGGGAUAAAACAUUUUUUAGAUACAUAAAUGAGAAAAGAAAAGUAAAACAAGGAUUAGUUAGAUUAAAAACAAAAGAAGGAAGGUAUGUAGAAGAGGAUAAAGGUCAGGCUGACUGCCUCAAUGAAUAUUUUUGUUCUGUAUUUACAGAAGAAAAUGAAGGAAAGGGACCUCAGUUGAGAAAAAGGAUAAAUGAGUCAUUUAUUACACGUCAGUUUACAGAGGAAGAGGUUCUAUUUCAACUGUCAAAAGUAAAGACAAAUAAGUCAAUGGGACCUGAUGGAAUACACCAAAGCUAUUAAAAGAGCUUAGUGGUGUACUAGCAAAACCAUUAACAGAUUUAUUUAACCAAUCAUUGUUAACAGGAGUAGUCCCAGAAGAUUGGAAGUUAGCGAAUGUUGUGCCCAUUUACAAGAAAGGUAAUAGGGAGGAGUCGGGCAACUAUAGGCCAGUAAGCCUUACUUCAGUAGUGGGGAAAGUGAUGGAAACCAUGUUAAAGGAUAGGAUUGAUGAACAUCUAAAACACAUGGAUUUCAAGAUCAGAGACAACAUGGGUUUACUUCAGGGAGAUCAUGCCAAACUAAUCUUAUUGAUUUUUUUGAUUGGGUAACUAAAAUUAUAGAUCAGGGUGGUGCAGUAGACAUUGCUUACCUAGAUUUCAGUAAGGCUUUUGACACUGUUGCACAUAGAAGGCUUAUCAAUAAACUGCAAUCUUUAAGUUUGGAUUCCAAUAUUGUUGAAUGGGUAAGGCAGUGGCUGAGUGACAGGCAACAGAGGGUUGUAGUUAAUGGAAUAUAUUCGAAGCUUGGACUUGUCACCAGUGGGGUACCUCAGGGAUCUGUACUUGGACCCAUUCUCUUUAAUAUUUUUAUUAGUGAUAUUGCAGAAGGUCUUGAUGGUAAGGUAUGUCUUUUUGCUGAUGAUACUAAGAUAUGUAACAGGGUUGAUGUUCCAGGAGGGAUAAGCCAAAUGGCAAAUGAUUUAGGUAAACUAGAAAAAUGGUCAGAAUUGUGGCAACUGACAUUUAAUGUGGAUAAGUGCAAGAUAAUGCAUCUUGGACGUAAAAACCCAAGGGCAGAGUACAGAAUAUUUGAUAGAGUCCUAACCUCAACAUAUGAGGAAAGGGAUUUAGGGGUGAUUAUUUCUGAUGACUUAAAGGUAGGCAGACAAUGUAAUAGAGCAGCAGGAAAUGCUAGCAGAAUGCUUGGUUGUAUAGGGAGAGGUAUUAGCAGUAGAAAGAGGGAAGUGCUCAUGCCAUUGUACAGAACACUGGUGAGACCUCACUUGGAGUAUUGUACACAGUACUGGAGACCGUAUCUUCAGAAGGAUAUUGAUACCUUAGAGAGGGUUCAGAGAAGGGCUACUAAACUGGUUCAUGGAUUGCGGGAUAAAACUUACCAGGAAAGGUUAAAGGAUCUUAACAUGUAUAGCUUGGAGGAAAGGCGAGACAGGGGGGAUAUGAUAGAAACAUUUAAAUAUAUAAAGGGAAUCAACACAGUAAAGGAGGAGACUAUAUUUAAAAGAAGAGUAACUACCACAACAAGAGGACAUAGUCUUAAAUUAGAGGGACAAAGGUUUAAAAAUAAUAUCAGGAAGUAUUACUUUACUGAGAGGGUAGUGGAUGCAUGGAAUAGCCUUCCAGCUGAAGUGGUAGAGGUUAACACAGUAAAGGAGUUUAAGCAUGCGUGGGAUAGGCAUAAGGCUAUCCUAACUAUAAGAUAAGGCUAGGGACUAAUGAAAGUAUUUAGAAAAUUGGGCAGACUAGAUGGGCCGAAUGGUUCUUAUCUGCCGUCACAUUCUAUGUUUCUAUGUUUCUAUGUUUAAUCUAUGCCUUGCCACCUUACCAUAUAUUCCUACGUAGAUCUGGCAUUUUUAUUAUAAUGUAAAUAUGUACAGCUGUAUCAAAUGCCAUACAAUUGUCUAUUUUGAAAUGCUUGCAUUAGCUAUUGUGAGCUUGAUGUGUUUUGUUUUUUUUACUCUACAAAAAUAAAGAAUUAAAAAAAAAAAAGUUUUACCUCUAAGCACACCCUUUCCGUCACUCAGUCGACUUCUACAUCAAGGUCUCCACACACCAGUUCCACACAGGUCUGGUCACACUCCUGUCAGGUUUUCACAAGUGUCAGAACCUUCAGUCCGCAUUAAUAGACCCCUCAACACAAUCACGUUGCUUAAGAAGGUAUUUGACAACCAUAUUAAUUACCCUCCCCUAGCCUCAACUCAUUGAUUUCCUCUAAGGAAUUCUCCCAGCACUAUGCCAAAGGGGUUGACCGGAGCUUGGGUGGGCAAGACAGAUAUUUCCUAUGCCUCCAAGCUUCUACCUAUUCAGCCAUCCCGAGGGCAUGUUCGUGGCAUUUUAUGGAGGGAUUGUCAUGACUUUCCACAUGUGUAACUUUUAGAGCAAAGAGUAACCCCAAGCUGUUUGUCUUAUUUGCUAACACACUAUGUUGACUAACACUCAAUAUUAGCAAAUGUCCUGCAGUCACCCAUUAUCUUAGAUAACUUCCUCGCGAUAGAACGCCCUCACUCUGCUCUGGUUAGUAUUCACAAGACGAUGGCACUUUUCCUCACUAUGGGUUCCACUUUCACAAACUGACCUUCUUAGGCAUUCAUCUUGACACUAAUACGCUACAGAACAUGUCCACCUACAGAGAAGGUACAGCGCAUUGGAGUCCUGAGAACCUUUCCUUCUGAAGAACACGCGGGAGGGAGGCAGGGGAGAAUGGAUAUACAGUCCUACUGGGCACAUUGAAGUUCUCCAUGAGAAUUAUUCUGCACAUUUAUUUCCCGACCGCUGAGUCUUCUUCCCACCGAAAGUUGCAUUCUGGCACUAGUUGUAAGCAGACCUACACAUAUGGCUCAGGUUCAUACCACACUGGAAUAGAAGGCCAGGUUAUUCCCGCCAUUUCUCAUAAUUUCCCAGUUACAUGGACCAAUGUGUCCGCACACACUGAUUUCCCAGCCAAUUUGGUGACUUUUGAUUCUGAGAUGCCUGGCCAGUUGAGACUCUUGAAAAAAAAAAAAACCUUUCUGUAACGGACCGUUUUGCACACAAGGGGUAAAAACCGUUUAGGCGAUCGGCCCCCUUUCCAGAGAUACAGGCACAGCUACUGCAGAACACCAAACUCCCAAACUGGAUACAAAAUAGCACUCCAACUCCCGAACUGGAACCUCCCAAAUAGCUGCUAGCAGGCGAACAGGAAAAGCACCCAAGCGGCUUACACUCCUGGCAAUCAGUCUCUAACAGCAUACAGUGAAUCCCCCCAAGAACGAGACAAGGCUCCGUGUUGAGGGUCAAGCAGUGGUCUGAGGUGCUGGCACACCCAGCCUGGUUUUAUUACAGUCUUGCAAAUACAGGACCGCCCACAGGGAGGUAUAAAACAACCAAUCACAUCACAGUUACAUCCCACAUAUUCCCUCUCCUUAUCCUGAGAGGAAACUCAAUUACACAUACAGUUAAAACAUACUUUCUACCCAACUUUCAUAACUCUAAAACCAUACAUCACAUUCACAUAAAAUUACAUAUUUGGAAUCAAUCCAUUCAGAGGAGCAACAUAUUAAAAAAUGGCACAAAUCAGACAAGGGGUUCAAAAGUUAGUAAAAAGUCCUUUGUGACUAAAGGAAGCAUGGCUUUCUGGCCCAAACCAGUUUCAGAGUCUUCUAUCCUGGAGAGUAAUUCAAUUAUCUCCCAGGAUAGACACAGACUCCAUUAAGCACAUGGUUGCAAAAAGACACAAAAACACUUUAAAAUACAUAAAGUCACCUUUAUACAUAAAACACAGACAUUUCACAUAUCCCCAGAUAGCUCAGGUCUGAGCGCACAUUAUUAAGUGAAUGGCGCUCAGACCACACGAAUACAGUUUAAUCGCCAUGGAGCCAAAGUCUUUACAGUCAGUUUCAUACAAAUGGGCUCCAUGGGAUUCCUAUCUGGGGUAUAACACAUUCAAACAAAUCUACCGAACCCCAGGCAGAAAAGCACGAAUUAAACUUUUCUACAGGUAAAAAAAAGAUGUCUUUUAACAGGGGGCCAUAGUCCAAAGGCAGCAGGCGAGCAACCAGGCUUCUCCAAUGCAAUGUGGCGAGAUUGGUCUUGUCACACUUUCCAUUCCUCGUCAACAUUUCUUUGGAAUCUACCCCAUAGUGGCCGGCUACAAGGCCUGGGGAGGUAUGAGUGGAUAGGGGAAUCUGACAAUAAAGCAACUGGCUAUACCCACAUUCGAUGGCUUAAUCCUGCACUUACUCGCCUAACUGGCAUUUGGCAGAUUUUUGGAUUGAGCUGCCCUCUCUGAUUAUACAUCACGAGCAUACAAUAGAGAUUUCACCUUUACAACAAGUUUACCACCGAUUACCAUAAUACCGAUAUUUGUUCACUAGUCGCCAUUGUGACACUCCUCUCCUUUUUGCCUACACAAAAAAAUCUCUCUUAACACGACAAAACUUACCUGGCUGGAAUACAACACCAUAUCUUAAGUGCCUAUCCUAGUACCAAACAGUUCACAUCCUCUUACCAUAUGUAAUACAUAGGGACAUAAGGACUAUCCUAUGGACAAUAAGGUGCCGGUCAAAAUGUCAGACCUUUACAGGUUAUUACUCACUGGACCAAAUCUCAAUAUGCCCCUAUUUAACUGCAGGGCAAACCACUCACUACAGCUAAAUUUAUAAUGUACCUCAGAACCCUCUUAACUAGGCUGGGACUCAACCCCAUUGCCUUUUUGGGACAUUCCUCCAGAAUCAGGGAGACAAAUGUCCCUGCUCACACCAUAAACAUUAGGACGCUGGAAAUAUUCAGGAUAUUACUAGCUACAUACCACAACCAGAGCUAGAGUUGAGUAGGACAUGCCUUUAAGAAUCUUGCAACGUAAAGAUCUGUAAUAAGUUAUCUUAUUCAACUUUUUGCCCUCUUUUUAUUACAGGCCUACCCGAUACGUCGGUUUCGGCACACCACAACCGCUUAUAUAUCUAACUUAUCAUGUAUACGGCUUUUGUCCCCGACUACAAAUUGGAAGGCGUAGCCUGAAGUUGUGGGAGGGGUUACCCGCUAUUUAAACUUGUUCCCUACACCACAGGGCUGAUGCUGCCUGGUUCAUCUCUCCCACCUCUCCCCUUAUACAUAUUACUAUUACAGGUGGGCCCUCAAAUUGCUGGUGAAAGUUUGGGUGGCAAACUGAAACGUUGAUCUUUUAAUUUGGAAAAUAAAAGUUACAUAUUUUUUUAUGACGAUAAGCACCGGGCAGAGACACCAGUAAGUGGAGUGCAAUACAAUCUUUUUGUUAUACAUAACAAUAACUAAACGGAGCACACCACAGGAAAUGUUAAAUUAAAUGUUUAUUGAAAGAAUCAACGUUUCAACCCUCCUGGGUCUUUUUAAGAUUAAUAAUAACUAGUACAGUGCAUAAAUAUGUAGAGUGUGCUGGUGCCCCAAGGGGAACCAGCGGGUGUGUGUAGGGAACACAACAGGGGGUAACCCUCACAAAUAUGUGAAAAACUAUUAAGCAAAUUAUCCCUGGGGGAGAAAAAAGCCACCAGGGGUCACAGAGAAGGUCCCUUAGGGAUAUUUAUAGUUCAAUAUAGUAAUCUAAAAAUUUACUUUUAUUAGAACUCCAAUCCUAAAAUCUUACAAGAAGAUAAUCGCAUAUCAUAUAUUGUGUGACGGUGACAUUGUCGUCUAGAAAAUAUUAGAAAAUGAACUAAGUUACAUAUGGAUGGGUGCCUGAGUCAACCGCUGUGAGCAUAUAGACUGCUUCAAACAAUGUGGUCUAUCCUAUCCAACUCAACCGUGGCUCUUCUAGGGAGACCUGAGUGUCUGAUUGCUCAUUCACUAACAGUAAUUGGGGAUGCUAGAAGUCUGUGCCCUGGGAAAUAUAUACAGUAUGUACAACAGUAUGAGCUCAAUAGAUGGCUAAAACACCUGAGCUGGGGACCGUAUCUAAUAUAUACCCCAUAAAUACGAUCUAUGGAUAUAACAAUCCUGCCCAGUCAGGCUACGCAGUUCAGCGCCUGCUAAUAGUAUAGGCUAGUCUGUCCCUUAUACAGCUAAUAUGGCCAGCGUGAUAUUCUGCAUGGUAACUAUUACAUAGCGGAUUAAAAAUUAACCCGCGGUUUUCCUGCAAUAACAAUGUGUCAGCCUAAGAUCAUGUACAAAGUGUCUAGUGCUGAUCUAGAUUAGCGGUGGAAAGCCGAGGGGGGGCUAGUAUGUCCCUUGUAUAACUGAUAUAUGCAGCGUGAAAUAUUGAAUGGUAGCUGUUAUAUACAGGAUUAAAAAAUAAGAACGCUGAGAAAUAGUAGAAAUCCCGGUGAUAGCCAUAUGCCUAUCCCACACAUGCGUAAAGGUAAAUAAUAUCGGAGCGCUAAACAAAUUAAUAAGAGCUCUAUAGAGGCAAAUAGCUAGAGCUACUGGUGAUUUUCCCAGAAAUUAUGGUUUUAACGUACUCUAUUUGAGGAAAAUAUAUUAUAUACUUCAGCUACAACACUUCAAUGCGAUCCCUUCACCACAUUAUAAGAAGUAUCUAAAGUCAAAAUAAGUUUCAAGAAGUGGAGCGAUAUUAAGGUGAUAAGCCCCUUCCCACAUGCAUCCAAAAUUGAAAUAAAAGAGGAUGCUUAUACUUCUCAGUAGAUGGCAUUCACAUGCUCAGAGACAUAUGGUACAUGCAAAAAGAGGGAAUUAAAAAUAAUGAUAGUGCAGAUCUGUAUGGAUAACAAUUAUAUUAUACCUAUCUAGGUAUGGCUGAUUUUCACAUACAGUAUAUGUACUGGUAAAGUGAAUGGUUAAAUGACUAAAAGUUUAAAAGAAUACAAAAGUACUUUACAUCAAUAAAAAUGUGCAAACAGAUUGCUGCUUACUGGAAUUUGUGGUGAGUAAAACGGUAUAUUUACCCGUUACUCACAUACUCGCUUUCCCACACUGGGAGAUGUUUCCUGCGGGUAGGUCAGGCGAAAUACCGAUGAGUGGAGUCCAAAUAGCAGAUUGUUCAAUGGUUAUAUGUCCGCUGUUUGUAAAUUCCCGGCUCACGCUAUGGCUCUGCCCACCUUGUCAGCAUGUUCACGUCAGAUCGUCUACGCAUUUCGCCGUUCUCCGACGGCUUCGUCAGGAGGUAAUGAAGCUCCCACACGUGCUUAAAGGGUGAUCCCGGAGUCCCUCUGGGCACGGAGAGCUAUACAAGUCUGAGAGGCGAAUCUGCUAAAACUAAGAUGGCGGACGCACAUGGGCCUGAAACACAAGACCUGCCAGAGCACCACACUAAUCCUCCUGACCACGGUGGCUGUACACAGACCUCGUUAGAGGCAAUCUUUGAAAAAUCCUGGGCCAGGCUGCAGGAGCGCAUGGCAAUCCCUACCUGCAGAGACAGCAAGGAAGGAUCGGAGGACGGAGCGGGGAGUGUACCCUCUGGGUACCAUCGACAAGCACAUGUCUACAUUACCCACAGAAUGCCCUCCUGGGCAGGGGGCCAACAAGGACUUGCCCCUGAAACACCAUCCACGCAAGCGGAGGACCGCCAAACGGAACAAAAAGACCAUCAGAACCUCAUGCACUCCCCUUCGUGGGAAGGACUGGGACUAGAGGUGUCGGCCCCUACUAAAGCCCAGGGCCGAAUGAGAGCCAUCCCUGGAGGCUGCCUUACCACCUCUUCCAGCGAACUUUGCACGUCCACACAGAGCCCAACUGCUACAAGCACCAUGGACUGUAUGUUGCAUAAGGGUAGGGGGACUGCAGUUAGUCUAGGCCCAGAGGACCAUAGCUACCAGGGCACAGCGCUUGAUACAAUAGGCCUGGUCUAAAGUAGUCGUUAAAUAUAGGCUUAGGCAGAUCCCCUAGUUAAGAGGUGCCCAAUACAUGCUCCACUAACCAAUACAUUAACUCCCUGCGGACCAUAAUCCCUAGUAGUAAGCAUCCACUCAGUUAACGUAGACUAGUCUGUUUUAAUCAUACUAAAAUAUCUUAGCCUGAUGUCAGGUCGCAAUGCCUGUGUAACACUAUGCUUUAUGAUCGCUCUCCACUGACAUGACUACCCAUGCCUGUUUAUAUUGCAAAAAUUUACAUGUUCCUCAUUUUAUUCAUCUUUACCCUUUAAACAAGAGCAAUGUUGUAGUUAAGAUUGUACUCUCAUAAUCUCUUCAAAGGUCACUGCGUUUAACCUGCUAUGUUCCCUAGACUGCCCUAUCCUAAAGCAGACAUGUUGGCUUAACUCAUGAUGAAACUUGAAUAUAUUUUCAGUGGCAAAAAUUGUGCUGUUAUUGCAUGUCACGAUACUGUUUCACCUGUGUUUUCGCAUUCGCUUGUGCAUGCUGUUGUGGCAACAUGAGCCUGUUUGUAAAUCUAAGCACCGCAAAAAUAAAGAUUGACAAAUACAUAAAGGAAAUCAACACCGUAAAGAGGGAGACUAUAUUUAACCCCUUAAGGACUGAGCCAAAUGUACAAGUUGUGAUCAAAACAAAACCUGGCAUUUGCGCUAUAUGUCUGUUCAGACGUAAUUCAUCUCUUUCGUAUAAUGUGCACUCACACUUAUUAUAUAUAAUUUUAUUCAGGGGAAACAGGGCUUUCAUUUAACCCCUUAAGACCGCAGCCAAAUGUACAAGUUGUGAUCAAAACAAAACCUGGCAUUUGCGCUUUAUGUCUGUCUAACCGUAAUUCACCUCUUUCAUAUUAUAUGCACCCACACUUAUUAUAUAUCAUUUUAUUCAGGGGAAACAGGGCUUUCAUUUAACAUCAAAUAUUUAGGUAUGGAACAUAGUUUAAUAUAAAUAAAAAUAUAAAAAAAUGGGAGAAAAAAAACAGUACCCCCUAUGUACAGGUUUUAUGGUGUUUUGGGAAGUUACAGAGUCAAAUAUAGCAUGUUACAUUUUUGAUUUUUUUCACAUUGAAAUUCACCAGAUUGGUUACGUUGCCUUUGAGACCAUAUGGUAGCCCAGGAAUAAGAAUUACCCCCAUGAUGGCAUUGCAAGGUAAGGUAUUGCAAAUGGGGUAUAUCCAGUCUUUUUUUUAGUAGCCACUUCGUCACAAACACUGGCCAAAGUUAGUGUUAAUAUUUGAAAAUGCAAACAACUAAUUUGAACACCAAUUUUGGCCAGUGUUUGUGACUAAGUGGUUACUAAAAAAGACUGAACAUACCCCAUUUGCAAUACCCUGGGUUGUCUACUGUUGCAAAUGGUAUGCCAUCAUGGGGGUAAUUUUCAUUCUUGGGCUACUGUACGGUCUCAAAGGCAACAUAACCAACCUGGCGAAUUUUAAAGUGAAAAAACUGAAACGUAAGCCUUAUAUUUGACUCUGUAACUAUUGAAAACACCAUAAAACCUGUACAUGAGGGGUACUGUUAUACUCGGGAGACUUCGCUAAACACGAAUAUUAGUGUUUCAAAACAGUAAAACGUGUCACAACAAUUAUAUCGUCAGUGUAAGUGCCAUUUGUUUGUGAAAAAUGCAAAAAAUGUCACUGUCACUGACAAUAUCGUCGUUGUAAUACAUUUUACUGUUUUGAAACACUAAUAUUUGUGUUCAGCAUAGUCUUCCAAGUAAAACAGUACCCCCAUGUACAGGUUUUAUGGUGUCUUGGAAAGUUACAGGGUUAAAUAUAGUGCUAGCAAAUUAAAUUCCCUGAACUUUCGGCCUGGGUUGUCAGGCAGGUCCUGCAAAUUGUAAUUACUAAAAUGACCUAAUUAUGUAAAAUUAUGACAUAAAUAUAUACGUAGAAUUAUUUAUAUAUAUAUAUAUAUAUAUAUAUUUAUAUGUAUAUAAUUUUUUUAAAUUAUUUUUAUUUAUAUAUAGGUAUAUAAUUAGUGAUAUACGUAUUUACUUAUGUAUAUAGAUAUAUAUAUAUUAUUUCGUUCUGCAUGUAUUUUGAUAUCUAUAUAUAUAUUAAUUUUAAAAUACAGUUAGAACAAAAUUACACAUGUAUAUAUUUUUAUUUAUUUUUUUAUUUUUUAACAUAUUUACAUAUUUAUUUUUUAUUAUAUAUAAAUAUAUAUAAUGAAAAUUAUAUAUUUAAUCAAUAUCAUUGUACGUGUAUUUUGCUAUUACUAUAUAUAACUAUGUAUAUAUUAAUAUAUUAAAAUACACUUAGACAGUGUAUGUGUGUGUAUAUAUACUUAGAUCAUAUAUAUAAAAUGUUACACUGUUUAAACUUAUUUCAGUUUCAGACAGCAGGGGGAGUACCUGUCAUUAGAGGCAACCGGGUAAGUACAUAAGAUUGCAGGGCGUUCUAUGCCGCCCUGCAGCGUUUAGAGCCAUCUAAAUAAGGACAGCAUAGAACGCUCUGCGGUCUUAUGGGGUUAACAUCAAAUAUUUAGGUAUGAAACAUAAUUUAAUAUGAAAAAAAUAUUUAAAAAAUGGGAGAAAAUAAGUUUGUUAAAAUUUUUUUUAGUUCUACAUGACAUUUUAACUGUGAAUGUAUAAUACUGUUUGCUUUUACUGCAAUAAAAUACACAUAAUUGGAUUCAGCGAUGUCUCGCGUGUAAAACCGUACCCCCUAUGUACAGGUUUUAUGGUGUUUUGGAAAGUUACAGGGUCAAAUAUAGUAUGUUACAUUUUUCUGUUUUUUCACAUUGAAAUUCCCCUGAUUUGGUUAAAUUGCUUUUGAACCCGUAUGGUAGCCCAGGAAUGAGAAUUACCCCCAUGAUGGCAUACCAUUUGCAAUAAUAGACAACCCAAGGUAUUGUAAAUGGGGUAUGUCCAGUCUUUUUUAGUAGCCACUUGGUAACAAACACUGGCCAAAUUUAGUGUUCAUAUUUGUUUGUGUGUGAAAAAUGGGGAAGGAGGGGAAACAAAUUUGAACUCCAAUUUUGGCCAGUGGCUAUUAAAAAAGACUGGACAUACCCCAUAUGCAAAUGGUAUGCCAUCAUGGGGGUAAUUUUUAUUCCUGGGCUACCAAUCUGGCAAAUUUCAAUGUGAAAAAACUGAAAUGCAAGUGUCACGACACAGCCCGAGCCCAGCAGACAGCAAGGCGUGGCCCGCCCCUUUAAGAGUCCUGGCUGGGUUUGAACUCCCUGCUACAGCAUGCCAGUCAGGUUCUCUGCCGUGCUGUCCACCGGGGGCCUCAGUUUCUGUUUACCCUGGAUUAAGCAGCACUGAUCCACCUGCAGCCCUUUUCCAAUUAGGGUCAGCUGCACCUAAUAAGCAGGCUGUAAAAGCCAGCCCUGCCUGAGACCUAGUAUCUGCUCAUUUUGCCUGUUUAGGGUUUCCUGCCGGAUCUUUGAUUUGCUACUGACUGAUUUCCUGGACUCUGACCUCUGCCUGAUUUACUGACUUUGUUACUCCGCUGCCAGCCCUGACUACUUCUGCUUCUCGCCUGACCCUGCCUUUGGAUUUUCCCUUAAUCUGUACAGUGUUUUGGAUUUUGCCUGCUUCCUGUACCAUCUCCUGCAACUGGGCUCCAACUCCUGAUAAACUGUUCCAUAAGUCCCCUGGUAACUGUUACAGCAAGCCUUAUAUUUGACUCUGUAACUCUUCAAAACACCAUAAAACCUCUACAUAUGGGGUACUGUUAUACUCGGGAGACUUCGCUGAACACAAAUAUUAGUGUUUCAAAACAGUAAAACGUAUCACAACAAUUAUAUCGUCCGUGUAAGUGCCAUUUGUGUGUUAAAAAUGCAAAUAAAAUUACGAUAUCAUGAUUGUAAUACAUUUUACGGUUUUGAAACACUAAUAUUUGUGUUCAGCAAAGUCUUCCGAGUAAAACAGUAUCCACCAUGUACAGGUUUUAUGGUGUCUUGGAAAGUUACAGGGUUAAAUAUAGUGCUAGCAAAUUAAAUUCCCUGGACUUUCGGCCUGGAUUGUCAGGCAGGUCCCACAAAUUGUAAUUAAUAAAAUGACCUAAUUAUGUGAAAUUAUUAUAUAUAUAUAUAUAUAUAUAUAUAUAUAUAUAUAUAUAUAUAUAUAUAUAUAUAGUGUGUGUGUGUGUGUAUAUAUAUAUAUAUAUAUAUAUAUAUUCAUUUUAAAAUAGAACAAAAUUACACAUAUAUAUAUUUUUUAUUUAAUGUAUUUACAUAUAUAUUUUUAUAUUCUAUAUAAUUAUAUAUUUAAUCAAUAUCAUUCUACGUGUAUUUAAAUAUUAAUAUACAGGUAAUACUCGAAAAAUUAGAAUAUCGUGCAAAAGUUCAUUUAUUUCAGUAAUGCAACGUAAAAGGGGAAACGAAUAUAUGAGAUAGAUGCAUUACAUGCAAAGCAAGAUAGUUUAAGCCGUGAUUUGUCAUAAGUGCGAUGAUUAUGGCUUACAGCUCAUGAAAACCCCAAAUCCACAAAUCUCAGUAUAUUAGAAUAUUACUUGCAAUCAAUAAAACAAGGAGUGUACGUAGAACAAUAUCGGACCUCUGAAAAGUAUAAGCAUGCAUAUGGACUCAGUACUUGGUUUGGGCCCCUUUUGCAGCAAUUACUGCCUCAGUGCGGCGUGGCAUGGAAGCUAUCUGCCUGUGACACUGCUGAGGUGUUAUGGAAGACCAGGAUGCUUCAAGCAUCUAGCAGUGUGUGCCUCUCCAUUCUUCCCCCAGACUCUUGGUUUCCAAAUGAGAUGCAAAAGUUGCUGUCAUCAGAAAAGAGGACUUUGGACCAUUGAGCAACAGACCAGGUCUGUUUUUUUUUUUUUAGCCCAGGUAAGACGCUUCUGACGUUGUUUGUUGUUCAGGAGCGUCUUGACAAUCGAAAAACGACAUCUGAAGUCCAUGUCCAGGAUCCGUCUCUGUGUGGUGGCUCUUGAUGCACUGACUCCAGCCUCAGUCCACUCCUUGUGAAAGUCCCCAACACUUUUGAAUGGCCUUUUCCUGACAAUCCUCUCCAGGCUGCGGUCAUCCCUACUGCUUGUGCACCUUUUUCUUCCACACUUUUCCCAUCCAUAUAACUUUGUAUUAAUGUGCUUUGAUAAAGCACUUUGGGAACAUCCAACUUCCAUCGCAAUUACCUUUUGAGGCUUUCACUCCUUAUGGAGGGUGUCAAUGAUGAUUUUCUGCACAACUCCUACUGAACCAGACUGAGAGACCAUUUAAAGGCUCAGAAACCCUUUGCAGGUGUUAUGGCUUACUUAGCUGAUUAGAGUGGGACACUGUGAGCCUAGAAUAUUGCACCUUUUCACAAUAUUCUAAUUUACUGAGAUUGUGGAUUUGGGGUUUUCAUUAAAUGUAAGCCAUAAUCAUCGCACUUAUGACAAAUCACGGCUUGAACGAUCUUGCUUUGCAUGUAAUGCGUCUAUCUCAUAUAUUAGUUUCCCCUUUUACGUUGCAUUAUUGAAAUAAAUUAAAUUUUGCACGAUAUUCAAAUUUUUCGAGUAUCACCUGUAUAUAAUUUUAUAUAUAUAUAUAUAUAUAUAUAUAUAUAUAUAUAUAUAUAUAAUAUUAUUGACAACAUAUAUAUAUAUAUAUAUAUAUAUCUAUGUAAUAAUGUAUAUAUAUAUAUAUAUAUAUAUAUAUAUAUAUAUAUAUAUCUAUAUAACAACACUUAUAUAUAUAUAUAUAUAUCUAUAUAUAUAUCUAUAUAUAUAUAUAUCUAUAUAUAUACAUAUACCAUAUAUAUAUAUAUAUAUCUAUAUAUAUGCUUAAUAGCAACAUAUAUAUAUAUAUAUAUACUAUAAUAAAAUACUACACAAAAAGAUAGCACAUUGACUCUCAUACAGAUGAGAGUGCACUGUAUUUCCUAUGACAUAUAUAUCUGUGGUGUAAGAGUGAUAUUAUUACGCAAAGUGGAAAGAACAGAAGCGCUAAUAAAAGUGGGUACACCCUAAAGAUGUAACCACACAAAAUACACUCCUAUGCCUGCAAAUCAGACCCGGACUGUGUCAGACAAACCGGGCAAAUGCCCGGUGGGCCGCGAUGGCCAUGGACCAAGGCCGGUAGGAAAGAUCAAGAGAUCUCCCCUGCCGGCCCAUGCGCAGCAGCACCGGCCCCAAGAUGGAGUUCUAUCCCAUCAUGGGCCGGAGAGGAGAUCGGGCAGUGAGCCGAUCACUCUCUGCGCACGCCGAGCAGCUUCCUUUCUCCUCUUCUCGCGAGCUCCGAGAUGAUCAGAGCGUUGCCAUGGUAACCCACGGCAACGCUCUGAAAAAACGGCGCUCGCGAGAGGGAGAGAGACCUUGUCUGUACCCUGCGGGGUACAGACUGAAUUACCUGCCGCUGGACCGCCAGGGAUGUGUGUGGCGUAGCCCCCCCUCACUGGACCACCAGGUAUGUGAAUGCUCCCUCCCCUCCUGCAAAGUUAAAAGGGGGAGUAAAUGGAAUUAUUUUUUUUUUUUUUUACUUUUUAAUAAUAAUAAUAAUUUAAGGCCAUAUACACACACAAACACACUACACACACUGCACCACGAACACACAAACAUUCUGCUCCCCACCACUAACACACAAACACAGACUGCACAAACACAGACUGCACUAACACACACACACACACUGCACUAACACACACUGCACCACUAACACACACACACAGACUGCACUAACACACACUGCACCACUAACACACACACACACACUGCACUAACACACACACACACACUGCACUAACACACACACACUGCACUAACACACUAACACACAGACUGCACUAACACACAAACACAGACUGCACUAACACACAAACACAGACUGCACUAACACAGACUGCACCACUAACACACACACACACACUGCACUAACACACGCACACACUGCACUAACACACAAACACAGACUGCACUAACACACACUGCACCACUAACACACACUGCACUAACACACACACGCACCACUAACACACACACACACACUGCACUAGCACACAAACACAGACUGCACUAACACACACACACACACACUGCACUAACACACACUGCACCACUAACACACAAACACACACUGCACGAACACACAAAUAUACUGCUCCCCUGCACAAACACACACUGCAGUAACACACACACACUGCACUAAAACACAAACAUACUGCUCCCCUGCACUAACACACUACACACACAGCACCCCCUGCACUAACACACAAACACACUACACCCCCUGCACUAACACACAAAAACACUGCAUACACUCUAUACCCCUGCAUACACUCUAUACCCCUACAUACACACUACAGCCCCUGCAUUAACACACAAUACACACUCUAUACCCCUAUAUCCACACUGCACCUCCUGCACUUACACACAAACACACUACACACACUCUAUACCCCUUAUAUACACACUAGUCCCCUGGCACUCACAUACACACACUAAACACACUCUAUACACCAUAAACCUACACUAGACUACACUCCCUGCACUCUCAUACGUUAUACCCCUAUUAACACACACAUUACACCCCCUGCAUGCACCCACACUAAUUUAUAUCGCCUAUAAAUACAUAUUCUGCACCCCCUGUACACACUACACCACCUAUGCAUACAUUAUCCCCCCUAUACACAUGUGCUCUACAGCUCCUAUAUGCAUAAACACACUAGAGCCCCUAGAUACACUCACAAACACACAGUACAGCUCCUUACAUGCACACACUCCACAGGCCCUAUAUAAAUACACACACACAAACACACAUACUUUACAACCCAGAGACACAAACACUACAGCCCCUAGCCACAUGCAGUACGCCACAAACAGACCCCUUCACACACACAAUUGCUCUACACACAUGCAAUGUCCAAACAUAGACAACAACACAAGGAACAUCCCCACACAUGCACAACACUCUUUAACAGUCCGGUUCCUGUUUUGAUCUCUGGUAUCCCACUAUUGAGGACACCAGAGACAAAUCGCCAGCAAACGCAGCACAAACUCAACCCCCCUUGCCCCCUAGAAGAAUCUCAUGGCAUUUAUUUUAGCCAGGAGCACUGGAUGCUCUGGAGGAGCAUCACAUUAACAUACUAAUUUGGUGGGGGGGAAGGUGGUGUGCGUGUCAAUGGUGGUGACAUGACAUGCCCCCUUUCUGGCCCCGCCCCUAAUAGUGGGCUGAUCUGCCUUUAAUUGCCCGGGCUGAAUUUUUGUCCCAGUCCGGCCCUGCUCUGAGAGAAUCUGAUGUUUCUUUACAUAAUUAAAUUGAUAGGCCUCAAAAAAAUAAAAAUAAAUUACCAUUAAACUUAUCUUAUUCCAGUGUCAGCCCAGACUCCUCCCUCAGCCUGAUCCACCUCUAGUGAACUCAUCAAGAACUAUGACUUUUACCCAAUCUAAUGUUUCUCAUAUAGAAGCACUGAGGACACAUGUGUUGCUGUGUUCCUCUAACAAGAUUAGAAUUGGAAACAAAUGUCUGACAGCAAGAUAUUCUAUAUGUUAAUGCUGGAUUCCAAACAAAUUCAGAGUUUCAUCUAUGGGCUUCCUAUCUGAGAUUACAAAUAUCAAAAUGUUAGAAGUCCCUUUUACUCAGAAAUCUUCUCUAUUUUAAUUUUAUGGCUGCAUUAAGAUGAAGUGAUUUGUGUUGUCUCUUUAAACAAACUGAGAACUUUGAGACAAUAAUGUUUUUUUGUGUGUGUGUAAUAUAAUAUGUUCCUUGUCCCAUACUCCUUAGCCACAUAAAAUCAUCAAAGCAUUUCAAUAAAAAAAAACAAACAACUGCAUUGCACAUAUUUAACACUAGGGGUCAGUAAGUCUCUGUCCUUUCAUCAUAUGUACAUGCAUUGUUGCUCAUUAAUAUUAGAUAGGUCUAUCAUUCACUAAGCUAAAAGUUUCACUAGAAUAGUCUAAAUCCAUGUAUCAUACAUGUGCGUGUUUUUAUAUAAAUAAUUAUUUAUAAAUGCUGCAUUCACGAAUACAGAACUAAUGCCUGGUGCUCAGGAUUGCAAAUGAAAAACUAAUACAAAGGAAAGUACAUCUAUUUAUCUAUCUAUCUAUCUAUCUAUCUAUCUAUCGUUUGUAAUAAUCAGUUUGGUUUUAUAGAAGUAUUAAAUACAGAAGAUGAAACUUCAAAUAGGAUAGGAUAAUGGUAUUUGCAAAUAUUGGGUGUAGUAUGAUGAAAAUGGAGUUAAUGAGACAGUAUUGAAUUAAUUAAUCAAUUAGUAGGGAUGUGCAUGGGCAAAAAAUUUGGUUCGGUUCGGCACUCCUGAAAUUCGGGACUUCAGCAAUUCGGUUCGGUUCAUCACUUCUGAAAUUCGGGACUUCGGCAAUCCGAAAUUUGGGACUUCAGCAAUUCGGUUUGGCACUUCCGAAAUUUGGGACUUCGGUGAUUCGGCACUUCGGCAAUACCCUAAGUCUAACUUGGGGGCAGUGUGUGUGUAAGUGGUGCAGUGUGUGUAAGGGGAAGAAGUGUGUCUUUUCGGGUCUAUGUGUGUAAGGGGGCAGUGUUUGUAUUGGGGGUUGUGUGUGUGUAUUGGGGCAGUGUGUGUAUUGGGGGCAGUGUGUGUAUUGGGGGCAUUGUGUGCAUUGGGGCACUGUGUGUAAGAGAGGCUGUGUGUGUAUUGGGGUUGUGUGUGUAAGGGGGUAUUGUGUAUUGGGGGCAGUAUGGGUAUUGGGGGUUGUGUGUGUAAGGUGGGGCAGUGUGUGUAUUGGGGUUGUGUAAGGGAGGCAGUGUAUGUGCUUUGGGGGCUGUGUGAUUGUGUAUGGUGCAGUGUGUAUGGAGUUAUAGUUUGUGUGAGUUGGUAGUGGGCAGAUUAAAGAUAAUAUAUGUUUUGUAAGGUUUUUUGUAUUUUUUAUUAUUAAAUAAAUAUGGUUAAUGUCCCACCUCCCUUCUUACGUGGUGAGAGUGAACUCUAGCCUGCAGCUCAGACUAGAGUUCACUCUUGCGAGAACGGAUGGUUGCCAUGGUAACCGCAGCAACACGCUUGCGAGAGGAGAACCCGGCGGAGCUGCAGGUAAGAGCUCCCCGGGGUUCCCUCUCCCUCUCCUGCCGGCUGCCAGCAACAUGAAGGCAAACAGCAGGGCUCGCACUUGGAUAGCGCUAGCCCUGCAUGGGCCGGCAGGGGAGACCCUCGGCCAGCACUAUUUUCUCAGGACGGGUGAGGGGGGAACAAUUGCCCCGUUGCCCCCUGGAUCCGCCACUGUUUGAAAGUGGCUUCAGCAACUGUCUUCUGGCUAUGAAUUUCUCUUAAUGUUUAAGUAUCUUUAAGUCCGUUAAUCUUUAAAUAUUUAUCCUUUUUGGACUUUGAUUGGACCUCUGAAACCAGCACAAAGUAAAUUUGUUCUAGAUGACCUUGAUUGGAUUCAAUCUUGUUUCAAUAUAGACUAUUAUUUAACAAUAAGCACUAGACAUCUCGAACAAAUGUACUUUGUGCUGGUUUCGGAAGUCCAAUCAAAGUCCAAAAAGGAUAAAUAUUUAAAUAUUAACGGACUUAAAGAUACUUAUACAUAUUACUAAAAGAAGUUCUGAACCUUACCUUGAGCUCCCACCUGCCAUACCGUGGGUGAGGGCAUAUUUACUAAACAGUGAGCAACCGGUGACUGCUCACCAAAAUAAAAAUCUAGCUACUGGUUUUUCUCCAUGUACAAAUCUAGUAUUUACUCAUAUGUAUUAUAUGUAUUAUGUAUUGUGACAUUGUUUGCUUUAAGUCAUUCGGAUUUACACCUGCUUGAUUCCUUGUGACCUAUGGUGCAAUCUGUGCCUAUUGUAUUGAUUAGGAUUCUGAUAAUCUGGGUUUGCACAGCAACCACAGCCAUGCAAUAAUUGUUCUGGUUGUUUGAAAUUGACAGUGAUAAUGUGGUAGUAAUAAUUCUGCAUUAUCAAUGUGAUCGAGAUAGGGCUGACCCUUAUAUCAAACUCUUCUUAAGAAGUUUUAUAUUAAACUAACGAAGGACACUAGGAUGUUCUAGGCAGUAUAGACACAACAGAGAGCUGAAUGUAGUUACACUGCUAAGUGUGUCCCUAUUAUUUUAAUUGAAAUAUUUCCAAUAUUUGCCAUUUAUAUUAUUAUCGGGUGAACAUCUACCUCAAUAAACGGUAUACAUUAUUGUAAUCUCUUAUUGCAUAAUCUCUAAUGGAAGCAACAAAAUUGCAAGAGAAUCUACAGGUAUACAAAUGAAAAUCGUAUUACUAUUAGCAUUGAUAUAUUGCCAACAUAUAACGUUUUAUACUUAUACAAUGAGGAUACAUAACAGAAGUUAGAAGACAGACAUACAUAAAGAUACAAGAGAUGAAGAUGGACUCCUACUCAGACAAACUAACAAUCCAGGAAUACAUGUAAUCAAAUUAAAUAAGAACCUGCUAGCAAAGACCAUUGACACCUAACCCAGUUUUGUCCGCUAUAUGUGACUAAAUCGUAGUUAGAUAUUUUUUACGCAUUUUAAUAAAUUCAUAAUUCUCGCCAUAUAUAACGUUUUUUUCAGGAAUAUUUUUAUAAAAUGUGACGUCCAUUUCAUUAUAUUUUUCAGUGACUUAUUAUUCAAAGGGAACUGCGCUAUCCAUUUUCAUAACCACCACUUUUAUAUUUAAUUCCGAAAUCAGCAGGAGUUAAGCUUCCUUCACCAAUUCAUGCCAAGCUUUAAACCCCAGCCGCAACUCCCGAUCUCAGAAUGAAAUCGUGUUUAGUUUCGGUUUGUUUAGUUUCUGUUAACAACAUGUCACUUGGCAAGAAUUUUCCCCCCAGGAAUUUGUCCGUUUUGGUUAGUAAGCUCUUGUGGCUAUACCUAGUCAGUGUACAUAGACACCAUCAUAGCAAAUCAGAAUCCAUAAAACAGGACUUAUAGCUAUAUAAGAAGGUACAGAGUUUUGUUAGUAUGUUAAAGAGAUACUAUCAGCAUCAAAACAACUUUAGCUUAAUGAAGCAGUUUUAAUGUAUAGAUCAUGCACCUGCCAUUUAGGAGUUUAAUCACUUGUGUUUCUUUCCAUGGUGCCAUAGCCAUUCCUCCCCUGGCUGUACCUGACACAGCCUACAUAAACAUUCUUUUCAUUUUGAAUCAGUUGUAAUUUACUUGGAACGUUUUUUCUCCUGCUCUUUAAAUUAACUUUAAUCACAUACAGGAGGGCAUGCAGGGUCUAGCAAGUUAUAAACAGAGCAGGAGAUAAGAAAUUCUUAAUUAAACAGAAUGUGCGAUAAAGGAAGUUUAAACACUAGAUGACUCUUUACAGGAAGUGUUUAGGAAGGCUAUUUAAGUCACAUGCAGGGAGUUGUGCCUAGGGCUGCAUAAACAAAGUGAUUUGAUGUCUAAAUGGCGGAGAAAUAAACAGUGAAACUUCAGGGACAUGCUCUAUACACCAAAACUGCUUCAUUAAGCUAAAGUUGUUUUGGUGACUAUAGUUCGCCCUUUAAUGCUAACUGGCUCAACCACAGCUGAUCUUAACCAAAGAUAAUGGCUACAUGAAUCCAAGAAGCAUAAGGAAUGGUAACAUCUAACUAGUGUGUUACACCAGCAGUUAGUGCCCCAAUCUACAAGAAUAUCAGGGUUAUCCAUUAAACACAGGAUUUUUUUUUUAACGCACAAAAUACUGUGAAAAUGACCAAAUUCCGAUCACAUUGGCAAUUCACAGAUUUAUUAAAGCCCAAUGCGAUCAGGAUUUGGUCAGUCUGCCCAAUUCCUUUAAAAUUUGUUCAGAUGUGUUCAGAUAACCACUAUCCACAUCUGAACCAAUUUAUAGCAAAGGCAUCUGGGAUUUAUCAAUGACCUCAUGGUGGCUGCCAGGAUGCAUGUUUGCAAAUCAUCAUUAUCAUUCACUUGUUUUUUUGCAAGUGAAUUAAUAAUUUGAAAAACAAUGUGCCCGCUGGUACUGUUAGCAGUUAGUGGUUAAAUAGUUAGAAACCCUCAGCAGAGGGAGGGUUAAUGAAGGGGUGACUAGCCACUGCCAGUGCUUGCUAGCCAUGGGACAUGGUCUCUUGUUAAAUCCAGACUGUAGACAUAGGACUGGGAUAUCUGCAGAUUCCAGAUAUAUAAAACAUAGCCAUGUAAAUCACUGUGUUAUUCAUUGCAUCACUUGCCUUCUCCCUAAUGAUGCAUUACAACAGAUGUCAAAUUCCAAUUAAUUACUUAUUGGAAAUAGAUAGAGGGAUGCUAGAGUACUAUUUACCUGUCUGCUUUACUUAAUUACUAUUAAAUGGAUCACUUAUUAACUUUAAAUAAAAGAUCAUCAUUACAGGAUUGAACAGAAUUGCUUCAGAACGUAUAAUUGAUUUAUUUAACUCAAUCGCACCUGAUUUUUUUUUUUGUGUGAAACUUAUUCACUUAAUCAGGAGCUGUGAAAAAGUGACAAGGGCAUUGCAAAUAUCUUGAAAUAUCUUUAAAUUUAGAUUUUUAUUUUUCUCUUGAUAUUUUGUCCAAAAAUGUUCAGGUCUCUUAAUUCUUUGCUUAAUUACUAAACCUCUAGUUUUCAGCCAGAACCCAUUCAACAGCAUAUAAAAUAAUGCAAAUUAUAUAUAUAAAUAAGAGACUUGUGCAAUCGGUUUUAAAUUAAGUGGAAAUAGUCUGAAUUCCAUGAAGCCGAAGCGUCAUAUCGACGUAUCACGAAUAGUGAUGUCCCGAACGGUUCGCCGAACGGUUCGCCACUGACUCAUCAUUGAGUAAACUUUGACCCUGUACCUCACAGUCAGCAGACAUAUUCCAGCCAAUCAGCAGCAGACCCUCCCUCCCAGACCCUCCCACCUCCUGGACAGCUCACUAAGAAUGCAGCUUCAAAAUGGAUGCUGUCCAGGAGGUGGGAGGGUCUGGGAAGGAGGGUCUGCUACUGAUUGGCUGGAAUGUGUCUGCUGACUGUGAGGUACAGGGUCAAAGUUUACUCAAUGAUGAGUCCACGGCAAACCGUUGGCGGCAAACCGUUGGCGAACUGUUCGGCGAACCGUUCGGGACAUCACUAAUCACGAACAAUCGAACUGGACAAUGGAAAAGCAUGUUCGCUUGUUUUGUGAUUUGGAGUUCUAUCCGUGGUGCACCCUAAAAAAAAGAUUGAUGGGAAAUAAGAUGAAGGAUGGUUAAAAUGGUUAGGGGGAGAGCCUGUAAUUGUUGAUUUUAUUCGCCAACAAGUGAGAAGUGACCAACAGUGUGAAAAAAGAGGAACAGUAAAUAUAACCUACAUUUAUUUAUUAUAUGUUUAAUAAAUAUAUAAAUUAUAAAGAUAUCAAUAUAUAUAUUUUUACUGCUUUUUCCCCUCUAAUGGUUACUUCUCUAGUGGUUGCCCUCUAUCCAUCAAAUAUUUUAAUCUGUGAACCAAGUGGUGUGAAAAUACUUAUAUUAGGUGUACAUUUUGCAGUACACUGGCCCAUUUUCACUCCCUUUUUGUAUAUCCGAAAUAAUUUUUCCUGAAUCAUUUGCAUGGAUGUAAAUCGUCUGAGCGUAACCUCCUUAUAAACAAAUUUCUCACAACCCAAACAAUUUUCUUUUUCUUGUUACGAAUUGACUUGGCCGACCUGAAUUCUUCCACCAUCUAAUAAAUAAGAAUUCCUUCUCUUGGGCAUUUAGCAUAGUGAGACAAUAAUAGUAUCAUGACAUCAUCUUUUAAAGUCAUAUUUUGUGUGUUAUUUAUAGGCAUAUCCAUUUUACAGCUAUUUUAUUAUUAUUUUUUUGUGCCCUCAUUCUAUGUUUUACCUUGAUUUACAGAAAAUCUUUUCCCAAAAGGGGACAUGGGCACAGUAAACUUUAUUUGCUAAAUAACGAAUGUCAGUAGAUUAAAAACCAAAUGACAAGAUUUAGGCCAAAAAUGCUUUUUUGGAAUAUUAUCAAAUUUAGCUAGAGUCUUGGGUUGUGUAACCUAAAUGUUGCAAAUCAGUUUUCAGUUCACAUCAUAGGGGUGUUUACAGGUUGGCUGGUGUUAUGAAUGAACUUGGUUAGUUACAAAGGUAUAACUUAUAUAGGACUUGUGUCCCUUUAAACCUUUUAAAUUCCAGCAACUCUCAGUAAAGUUGGCUUUGCAUCAUUACAUUUAAGUGCAGUGCCAAAAUUCUUUGAAAGAUACAAUUAUAUUAAGCAAAUAUGUAAGUGAAUUUUUCUGUAUAAUUGACAUAGCAGUCCAUAUUGAAUUAUUUCAUACCAGUCCUUUUUGAAUUUUUAGAAGGACAGUGAUUUAUACACAAACCUUGAGAUAGUUAUUUAAGAUUUAGUGCACACAGCGUGUUGUGAACUUGGCUUCAAAUGCAUAGGUCAAAAGACGAUAUUAACUGAGGAUUAGUUCCUCUUCACUCAGCAGUGUACCAUGGAUUGGCAGACAGCUAUUAGAUUCCUGGAGCAAGGACGCAUGUUAGGAAUUGUGGGAUCAUGCCAUGUCUCCAGGAGCUGGUGUAGCUGCUUGUGACUGCUCCUGUCCUCCAUAUUUCCGUAAAAUUUAUACCAAUACAUAGUUGGCAAGACAGGUACACCUUAACAAAUAUACCGGAGUAGAAGGAGCAUGAUUACAGACCUAAAGAACAAGGGUAAUUAUUUCUCAGGGCAGUAACAGUGUAAUUCAUUCUGUAAGGGCAAGGGUGUUUUUGGUAAAAUUCUCAAAACACAUUUUCCAUUCUGUAACUUUUUGUUUUAAUGCGUUGCUUGGCUCCGUAGAUGGUUAUCAUUUAAGUCAGAUCCCCUGCACUCAUUUAUUUUGUUUUUACAAAAGAUUCCUUUCUCCGUCUUCUUCCCAUUUACGCAGCUACAAGUGAUGUAUCAUUGAUCUAACCAACACUUUGUGCAUUUUGUGCAUUAUUGCAUCAUGUUGCAAUAUAUGUUCCAUUUAACUAAGUGAUGUAAUUUUCACAAAAAACACAAGGUUACAACUUAUAUAUAUAUAUAACAUCCCUUACCAUGACAUAUCUUCCAUAACAUACAAGUGGUGUAUUUUCCAUUCAACAGCUACAAAUGAUAUAUGUUUGUGUACCAUGCCACAUGAUUACAUUUACUUAUCUCCUUCACAAGUGUAGAUUUUGCUUAAGACGAUCACCAGUUACGUACAUUCCAUUUACAACAACCUGUCAAGUAGUGUUCCCGAAUCAUUUACACUGAUGAAAAUUGUCUGAGCUUAACCUUAAACCUUAAUUCUACUCCAGUAUAUUUGUUAAGAUGCACCUGUCAUGCCAACUAUGGCUUGGUAUCAAUUUGUACAGAGAUCAUGGAAAAACGGAGGACAACAUGUAGAUUUUGUUUAAGAUAAUAACCAGUUGUGUACAUUCCAUUUACAACACCAUCUUAACUCAUCCCCACCAGUGAUUAGUUCCAGUGAUAUGGCUGUCUUUUGAGAUGACUAUAACGUCAUCAGUAAAGAUGUUCCAAAUUUAUUUAUGCACAUCCAAUAAAUGUACUGACUCGGUUGAUCACUGCUGACCUAAACCAUUGAGUUCCUUUUAUGUAUGUAUUAUGAUAAUGAAAGUAUAAGAAAUACAUUCACCAUGGUUUUGUAGAACAACUAGUUUUUACUUUAAAGAUUCAUGGACUUUUUUGCUCGUUAAGAAGGUCACCCCUAUAAUAUUCAAACAUCCAACAAAAAAAAAGUGAUAACAUGAUUGUAUUGUAUCAGCUAAUGUUCGGUAACAUACCAUGAAUUAAAGAAGAUAUCUCACUCUUGAUUGAAUCAACAGCUGUAAAAAUUUAUUGGGGACCGUUUCUUAAAUUCAAUUUGCAUUUUUAGAAAUAUUUCAAAUGUGAUUUUUAGCCUUCUUUGCAAAGUAGUUAGUGCAGCUUAUCAACAUUUAUUGGCUUCAAACCUCAGGACAUUUUCUCACGUAAAUUAAAUUACGUAUGUUAUAAUUUAAUUUUUNNNNNNNNNNNNNNNNNNNNNNNNNNNNNNNNNNNNNNNNNNNNNNNNNNNNNNNNNNNNNNNNNNNNNNNNNNNNNNNNNNNNNNNNNNNNNNNNNNNNUUAUAUAAGGCUUGGUCUCAUUAGCUUGUCUAAUAUAGCUUGGUGCUACUUCCAAGUGCUGUUUCUAAGUGUCUAGUUGGAGAUAUUCUGGAGACUUUAACAGAAGCUUCAACUGUCUAAGAGUUGUGCUAAGAGCUUUCUUUUCUACUGUUACAGGUAAGAUUCAUCUUGUGGUAGGUUACUGAUUGCCUGGGUUUGAAUUCUGUUGGUAAUUAUAAGGCAUUUGAUUUGAUUAAGCUUAAGUUACUUGCUGUUGAUUGGUUGGUUAAUUAGCUAUUGUUUGCAAAUAAGCAGAGGCCUACCCAGGUGUUAAACAUUCCUAGUGGGUGGUGAUUUAAGGAGUUAUAUAAGGCUUGGUCUCAUUAGCUUGUCUAAUAUAGCUUGGUGCUACUUCAAAGUGCUGUUUCUAAGUGUGUAGUUGGAGAUAUUCUGGAGAGUUUUACAGAAGCUUCAACUGUCUAAGAGUUGUGCUAAGAGCUUUCUUUUCUACUGUUACAGGUAAGAUUCAUCUGUAGGAAAAAGGUUACUGAUUGCCCAAGGUUUGAAUUCCUGUUGGUAAUUAUAAGGCAUUUGAUUUGAUUAAGCUAGUUACUUGCUGUUGAUUGCUGGUUAAUUAGCUAUUGUUUGCAAAUAAGCAGAGGCCUACCCAGGUGUUAAACAUUCCUAGUGGGUGGUGGAUUUAAGGAGUUAUAUAAGGCUUGGUCUCAUUAGCUUUGUCUAAUAUAGCUUGGUGCUACUUCUAAGUGCUGUUUCUAAGUGUGUAGUUGGAGAUAUUUUUGAGAGUUUUACAGAAGCUUCAACUGUCUAAGAGUUGUGCUAAGAGCUUUCUUUUCUACUGUUACAGGUAAGAUUCAUCUGUAGGAAAAGGUUACUGAUUGCUCAAGGUUUGAAUUCCUGUUGGUAAUUAUAAGGCAUUUGAUUUGAUUAAGCUAGUUACUUGCUGUUGAUUGCUGGUUAAUUAGCUAUUGUUUGCAAAUAAGCAGAGGCCUACCCAGGUGUUAAACAUUCCUAGUGGGCGGUGAUUUAAGGAGUUAUAUAAGGCUUGGUCUCAUUAGUUUGUCUAAUAUAGCUUGGUGCUACUUCCAAGUGCUGUUUCUAAGUGUCUAGUUGGAGAUAUUCUGGAGAGUUUUACAGAAGCUUCAACUGUCUAAGAGUUGUGCUAAGAGCUUUCUUUUCUACUGUUACAGGUAAGAUUCAUCUGUAGGAAAAGGUUACUGAUUGCCCAAGGUUUGAAUUCCUGUUGGUAAUUAUAAGGCAUUUGAUUUGAUUAAGCUAGUUACUUGCUGUUGCUUGCUGGUUAAUUAGCUAUUGUUUGCGAACAAGCAGAGGCCUACCCAGGUGUUAAACAUUCCUAGUGGGCGGUGAUUUAAGGAGUUAUAUAAGGCUUGGUCUCAUUAGCUUGUCUAAUAUAGCUUGGUGCUACUUCUAAGUGCUGUUUCUAAGUGUGUAGUUGGAGAUAUUCAGGAGAGGUUUUACAGAAGCUUCAACUGUCUAAGAGUUGUGCUAAGAGCUUUCUUUUCUACUGUUACAGGUAAGAUUCAUCUGUAGGAAAAGGUUACUGAUUGCCCAAGGUAAGAUUCAUCUGUAGGAAAAGGUUACUGAUUGCCCAAGGUUUGAAUUCCUGUUGGUAAUUAUAAGGCAUUUGAUUUGAUUAAGCUAGUUACUUGCUGUUGAUUGCUGGUUAAUUAGCCAUUGUUUGCAAAUAAGCAGAGGCCUACCCAGGUGUUAAACAUUCCUAGUGGGCGGUGAUUUAAGGAGUUAUAUAAGGCUUGGUCUCAUUAGCUUGUCUAAUAUAGCUUGGUGCUACUUCCAAGUGCUGUUUCUAAGUGUGUAGUUGGAGAUAUUCAGGAGAGUUUUACAGAAGCUUCAACUGUCUAAGAGUUGUGCUAAGAGCUUUCUUUUCUACUGUUACAGGUAAGAUUCAUCUGUAGGAAAAGGUUACUGAUUGCACAAGGUUUGAAUUCCUGUUGGUAAUUAUAAAGCAUUUGAUUUGAUUAAGCUAGUUACUUGCUAUUGAUUGCUGGUUAAUUAGCUAUUGUUUGCAAAUAAGCAGAGGCCUACCCAGGUGUUAAACAUUCCUAGUGGGUGGUGAUUUAAGGAGUUAUAUAAGGCUUGGUCUCAUUAGCUUGUCUAAUAUAGCUUGGUGCUACUUCUAAGUGCUGUUUCUAAGUGUGUAGUUGGAGAUAUUCAGGAGAUAACCUGGAGGUAAUCUGAGGUAUUCAGGAGGAUAAAGAAAAAAGUUAAUAUUUGUUAGAUUUAAAUUAUUCUCAUAAUUGGAAUGGCAGGCUUAGUUCAGUGUAACAAUUGCUAUGCAUUUGUUUCACGUUCCACUUUUUGGAGAUUUGGUUGUUGUCUAAUCUGUAGACAGUUCUCUAUCUUGCGGCAGGAGAUUGUAUUUUUGAAGUCUGAGAUUUGUAAAUUAUCUGGUGUAGAAACUCAGACUGGAACUGCUGCAAAGCCACUGCCGCAGAGACAUGCUAGGAAAGGCAGAUGGAUUACUGUAGGAUCUGGUAGACUUAGAGUUGUGGAUAAAAGGCAUUUUGCACUGUCUGUUGCUCUUCAUAAUUCAUUUUCUGCACUUUCAGAGUGUAAUGGUGUUGUGGAGAGAGGCACUGAGGCUAGUGGUGUUGUGGAGAGAGGCACUGAGGCUAGUGGUGUUGUGGAGAGAGGCACUGAGGCUAGUGGUGUUGUGGAGAGAGGCACUAAGACUAGUGGUGUUGUGGAGAGAGGCACUGAGGCUAGUGGUGUUGUGGAGAGAGGCACUGAGGCUAGUGGUGUUGUGAGGAGAGGCACUAAGACUAGUGGUGUUGUGGAGAGAGGCACUGAGGCUAGUGGUGUUGUGGAGAGAGGCACUGAGGCUAGUGGUGUUGUGGAGAGAGGCACUGAGACUAGUGGUGUUGUGGAGAGAGGCACUGAGACUAGUGGUGUUGUGGAGACCGGCUUGGAGACUAUGGUGAGGCCUAAUAGAAAGCAGUUGUUGUUGGGUGAUUCCAUUAUAAGAGGUGUGGAGAUGGACAAUGGUGGUCUUGUGAGGUGUCUUCCCGGAGCUACUGCUCACAGAGACAGGAGACGUAUCUGUACUAUUGUUAAGCAAGCAAAGCAGGAAGGGGAAUUGGAUGUACUUGUCCAUCUAGGGACAAAUGACUUGGCUUGCAAUGAGGUUUCAGAGGUUAAGGAAGUUUUUAGUGUUUUUGCCAAUGAUAUAUGGCAGGUUGCUUCCACACUGUCAUUCUCUGAAGUUCUGCCUGUGCAUAACACUCAGAACGACAGACAGAUGCGUAUUAGGGACUUUAACUUGUGGCUUGGUGAAUGGUGUCGGGAGCAAGGAUUUGGCUUUAUUUCUCAUGGUAGCUCUGUUUGGAAUGGAGAUAAGCUGUACAAAAAAGAUGGUUUGUAUCUUUCUCAAAAGGGAACAAAUGUUCUCAGUGAGCAGUUCAGAGGUUUUGCUAGGAUGUAUUUAAACUAGGAGGGGGGGGCAAAAGGGUGAUAAAACAUCAAUCCAAUUGUCCCCAAAACAAGGACAGAAGGUGCCUGUAGCAAGUGUGUUAAAAAAUGAUAAGCUAAGAGUCAUGUCUACAAAUGCUCGCAGUUUAGGGAAUAAGAUCCAUGAACUUGUGGCAAUAAUGGCAACGGAUAGUGUAGAUUUAGUCGCUGUUACUGAGACAUGGUACAAUGAGAAAAAUGACUGGGACAUAGCAAUACCAGGGUACUCUUUAUAUAGGAAAGAUAGGGAAGGCAAGAAAGGGGAGGGGUGGCCUUGUAUGUGAAGGAUAGCAUAAAAUCUAGCCUAAUAAAAGUUAGUGAGGCAAACAUAGAGUCCAUUUGGGCUACGUUAGAAUUUGGUAAUCACACAGUAACUCGUGUAGGUGUGAUUUAUAGGCCCCCAGGACAAAUUGAAGAGUUAGAUAACUACUAGUUGAGGAAGUAGCUAAAAUGACAAUGAAGGGGGAAGUUAUCAUCAUGGGUGACUUUAAUCUUCCUGAUGUAAAUUGGAAAACAAAAUUAGCUACUUGUGCCAGGAGCACACAUAUUCUAAACUCCCUACUGGGAUUGUCUCUAAAACAAGUUGUUGAGGAGCCAACUCGUAAAGAGGCCAUACUAGAUUUAGUGUUAACAAAUGGAGAUUUGGUAUCAGAUAUUACUGUAGGUGAAAGUAUAGGAUCCAGUGAUCAUCAGUCAGUGUGGUUUAAUAUAAGAACAGUGACUGAGUCACACCACACAAAAACAAAAGUUUUAGACUUUAGAAAAACAGACUUUUCUAAAAUUAGAAUAUGGGUAGAGGAGUCAUUAUCAGACUGGAGCAAUUUAAAUGGAGUCCAAGAGAAAUGGGAUUAUUUAAAAGUUGCACUAUUGAAGGCAACAGAAAAUUGCAUUAGGCUUGUCAGUAAAAGCAAAAAAUUCAAGAAACCACUGUGGUACUCCGCAGAUGUGGCCAAAAUAGUUAAAAACAAAAAGUUAGCAUUUAGGAAUUAUAAAAAAAACCCAGAGUGAGGAAGACAAAAUGAUCUAUAAGAUUAGGCAGAAAGAGGCUAAGCAAGUUAUAAGAGCUUCCAAAUCACACACAGAAGAGAAAAUAGCACAGUCAGUAAAAAAAGGGGAUAAAACAUUUUUUAGAUACAUAAAUGAGAAAAGAAAAGUAAAACAAGGAUUAGUUAGAUUAAAAACAAAAGAAGGAAGGUAUGUAGAAGAGGAUAAAGGUCUAGCUGACUGCCUCAAUGAAUAUUUUUGUUCUGUAUUUACAGAUGAAAAUGAAGGAAAAGGACCUCAGUUGAGAAAAAGGAUAAAUGAGUCAUUUAUUACACGUGAGUUUACAGAGGAAGAGGUUCUAUUUCAACUGUCAAAAGUAAAGACAAAUAAGUCAAUGGGACCUGAUGGAAUACACCCAAAGCUAUUAAAAGAGCUUAGUGGUGUACUAGCAAAACCAUUAACAGAUUUAUUUAACCAAUCGUUGUUAACAGGAGUAGUCCCAGAAGAUUGGAAGUUAGCGAAUGUUGUGCCCAUUUACAAGAAAGGUAAUAGGGAGGAGUCGGGCAACUAUAGGCCAGUAAGCCUUACUUCAGUAGUGGGGAAAGUGAUGGAAACCAUGUUAAAGGAUAGGAUUGAUGAACAUCUAAAAACACAUGGAUUUCAAGAUCAGAGACAACAUGGGUUUACUUCAGGGAGAUCAUGCCAAACUAAUCUUAUUGAUUUUUGAUUGGGUAACUAAAAUUAUAGAUCAGGGUGGUGCAGUAGACAUUGCUUACCUAGAUUUCAGUAAGGCUUUUGACACUGUUGCACAUAGAAGGCUUAUCAAUAAACUGCAAUCUUUAAGUUUGGAUUCAAUAUUGUUGAAUGGGUAAGGCAGUGGCUGAGUGACAGGCAACAGAGGGUUGUAGUUAAUGGAAUAUAUUCGAAGCUUGGACUUGUCACCAGUGGGGUACCUCAGGGAUCUGUACUUGGACCCAUUCUCUUUAAUAUUUUUAUUAGUGAUAUUGCAGAAGGUCUUGAUGGUAAGGUAUGUCUUUUUGCUGAUGAUACUAAGAUAUGUAACAGGGUUGAUGUUCCAGGAGGGAUAAGCCAAAUGGCAAAUGAUUUAGGUAAACUAGAAAAAUGGUCAGAGUUGUGGCAACUGACAUUUAAUGUGGAUAAGUGCAAGAUAAUGCAUCUUGGACGUAAAAACCCAAGGGCAGAGUACAGAAUAUUUGAUAGAGUCCUAACCUCAACAUAUGAGGAAAGGGAUUUAGGGGUGAUUAUUUCUGAUGACUUAAAGGUAGGCAGACAAUGUAAUAGAGCAGCAGGAAAUGCUAGCAGAAUGCUUGGUUGUAUAGGGAGAGGUAUUAGCAGUCGAAAGAGGGAAGUGCUCAUGCCAUUAUACAGAACACUGGUGAGACCUCACUUGGAGUAUUGUACACAGUACUGGAGACCGUAUCUUCAGAAGGAUAUUGAUACCUUAGAGAGGGUUCAGAGAAGGGCUACUAAACUGGUUCAUGGAUUGCGGGAUGAAACUUACCAGGAAAGGUUAAAGGAUCUUAACAUGUAUAGCUUGGAGGAAAGGCGAGACAGGGGGGAUAUGAUAGAAACAUUUAAAUAUAUAAAGGGAAUCAACACAGUAAAGGAGGAGACUAUAUUUAAAAGAAGAGUAACUACCACAACAAGAGGACAUAGUCUUAAAUUAGAGGGACAAAGGUUUAAAAAUAAUAUCAGGAAGUAUUACUUUACUGAGAGGGUAGUGGAUGCAUGGAAUAGCCUUCCAGCUGAAGUGGUAGAGGUUAACACAGUAAAGGAGUUUAAGCAUGCGUGGGAUAGGCAUAAGGCUAUCCUAACUAUAAGAUAAGGCUAGGGACUAAUGAAAGUAUUUAGAAAAUUGGGCAGACUAGAUGGGCCGAAUGGUUCUUAUCUGCCGUCACAUUCUAUGUUUCUAUGUUUCUAUGUUUAAUCUAUGCCUUGCCACCUUACCAUAUAUUCCUACGUAGAUCUGGCAUUUUUAUUAUAAUGUAAAUAUGUACAGCUGUAUCAAAUGCCAUACAAUUGUCUAUUUUGAAAUGCUUGCAUUAGCUAUUGUGAGCUUGAUGUGUUUUGUUUUUUUUACUCUACAAAAAUAAAGAAUUAAAAAAAAAAAAGUUUUACCUCUAAGCACACCCUUUCCGUCACUCAGUCGACUUCUACAUCAAGGUCUCCACACACCAGUUCCACACAGGUCUGGUCACACUCCUGUCAGGUUUUCACAAGUGUCAGAACCUUCAGUCCGCAUUAAUAGACCCCUCAACACAAUCACGUUGCUUAAGAAGGUAUUUGACAACCAUAUUAAUUACCCUCCCCUAGCCUCAACUCAUUGAUUUCCUCUAAGGAAUUCUCCCAGCACUAUGCCAAAGGGGUUGACCGGAGCUUGGGUGGGCAAGACAGAUAUUUCCUAUGCCUCCAAGCUUCUACCUAUUCAGCCAUCCCGAGGGCAUGUUCGUGGCAUUUUAUGGAGGGAUUGUCAUGACUUUCCACAUGUGUAACUUUUAGAGCAAAGAGUAACCCCAAGCUGUUUGUCUUAUUUGCUAACACACUAUGUUGACUAACACUCAAUAUUAGCAAAUGUCCUGCAGUCACCCAUUAUCUUAGAUAACUUCCUCGCGAUAGAACGCCCUCACUCUGCUCUGGUUAGUAUUCACAAGACGAUGGCACUUUUCCUCACUAUGGGUUCCACUUUCACAAACUGACCUUCUUAGGCAUUCAUCUUGACACUAAUACGCUACAGAACAUGUCCACCUACAGAGAAGGUACAGCGCAUUGGAGUCCUGAGAACCUUUCCUUCUGAAGAACACGCGGGAGGGAGGCAGGGGAGAAUGGAUAUACAGUCCUACUGGGCACAUUGAAGUUCUCCAUGAGAAUUAUUCUGCACAUUUAUUUCCCGACCGCUGAGUCUUCUUCCCACCGAAAGUUGCAUUCUGGCACUAGUUGUAAGCAGACCUACACAUAUGGCUCAGGUUCAUACCACACUGGAAUAGAAGGCCAGGUUAUUCCCGCCAUUUCUCAUAAUUUCCCAGUUACAUGGACCAAUGUGUCCGCACACACUGAUUUCCCAGCCAAUUUGGUGACUUUUGAUUCUGAGAUGCCUGGCCAGUUGAGACUCUUGAAAAAAAAAAAAACCUUUCUGUAACGGACCGUUUUGCACACAAGGGGUAAAAACCGUUUAGGCGAUCGGCCCCCUUUCCAGAGAUACAGGCACAGCUACUGCAGAACACCAAACUCCCAAACUGGAUACAAAAUAGCACUCCAACUCCCGAACUGGAACCUCCCAAAUAGCUGCUAGCAGGCGAACAGGAAAAGCACCCAAGCGGCUUACACUCCUGGCAAUCAGUCUCUAACAGCAUACAGUGAAUCCCCCCAAGAACGAGACAAGGCUCCGUGUUGAGGGUCAAGCAGUGGUCUGAGGUGCUGGCACACCCAGCCUGGUUUUAUUACAGUCUUGCAAAUACAGGACCGCCCACAGGGAGGUAUAAAACAACCAAUCACAUCACAGUUACAUCCCACAUAUUCCCUCUCCUUAUCCUGAGAGGAAACUCAAUUACACAUACAGUUAAAACAUACUUUCUACCCAACUUUCAUAACUCUAAAACCAUACAUCACAUUCACAUAAAAUUACAUAUUUGGAAUCAAUCCAUUCAGAGGAGCAACAUAUUAAAAAAUGGCACAAAUCAGACAAGGGGUUCAAAAGUUAGUAAAAAGUCCUUUGUGACUAAAGGAAGCAUGGCUUUCUGGCCCAAACCAGUUUCAGAGUCUUCUAUCCUGGAGAGUAAUUCAAUUAUCUCCCAGGAUAGACACAGACUCCAUUAAGCACAUGGUUGCAAAAAGACACAAAAACACUUUAAAAUACAUAAAGUCACAUUUUAUACAUAAAACACAGACAUUUCACAUAUCCCCAGAUAGCUCAGGUCUGAGCGCACAUUAUUAAGUGAAUGGCGCUCAGACCACACGAAUACAGUUUAAUCGCCAUGGAGCCAAAGUCUUUACAGUCAGUUUCAUACAAAUGGGCUCCAUGGGAUUCCUAUCUGGGGUAUAACACAUUCAAACAAAUCUACCGAACCCCAGGCAGAAAAGCACGAAUUAAACUUUUCUACAGGUAAAAAAAAGAUGUCUUUUAACAGGGGGCCAUAGUCCAAAGGCAGCAGGCGAGCAACCAGGCUUCUCCAAUGCAAUGUGGCGAGAUUGGUCUUGUCACACUUUCCAUUCCUCGUCAACAUUUCUUUGGAAUCUACCCCAUAGUGGCCGGCUACAAGGCCUGGGGAGGUAUGAGUGGAUAGGGGAAUCUGACAAUAAAGCAACUGGCUAUACCCACAUUCGAUGGCUUAAUCCUGCACUUACUCGCCUAACUGGCAUUUGGCAGAUUUUUGGAUUGAGCUGCCCUCUCUGAUUAUACAUCACGAGCAUACAAUAGAGAUUUCACCUUUACAACAAGUUUACCACCGAUUACCAUAAUACCGAUAUUUGUUCACUAGUCGCCAUUGUGACACUCCUCUCCUUUUUGCCUACACAAAAAAAUCUCUCUUAACACGACAAAACUUACCUGGCUGGAAUACAACACCAUAUCUUAAGUGCCUAUCCUAGUACCAAACAGUUCACAUCCUCUUACCAUAUGUAAUACAUAGGGACAUAAGGACUAUCCUAUGGACAAUAAGGUGCCGGUCAAAAUGUCAGACCUUUACAGGUUAUUACUCACUGGACCAAAUCUCAAUAUGCCCCUAUUUAACUGCAGGGCAAACCACUCACUACAGCUAAAUUUAUAAUGUACCUCAGAACCCUCUUAACUAGGCUGGGACUCAACCCCAUUGCCUUUUUGGGACAUUCCUCCAGAAUCAGGGAGACAAAUGUCCCUGCUCACACCAUAAACAUUAGGACGCUGGAAAUAUUCAGGAUAUUACUAGCUACAUACCACAACCAGAGCUAGAGUUGAGUAGGACAUGCCUUUAAGAAUCUUGCAACGUAAAGAUCUGUAAUAAGUUAUCUUAUUCAACUUUUUGCCCUCUUUUUAUUACAGGCCUACCCGAUACGUCGGUUUCGGCACACCACAACCGCUUAUAUAUCUAACUUAUCAUGUAUACGGCUUUUGUCCCCGACUACAAAUUGGAAGGCGUAGCCUGAAGUUGUGGGAGGGGUUACCCGCUAUUUAAACUUGUUCCCUACACCACAGGGCUGAUGCUGCCUGGUUCAUCUCUCCCACCUCUCCCCUUAUACAUAUUACUAUUACAGGUGGGCCCUCAAAUUGCUGGUGAAAGUUUGGGUGGCAAACUGAAACGUUGAUCUUUUAAUUUGGAAAAUAAAAGUUACAUAUUUUUUUAUGACGAUAAGCACCGGGCAGAGACACCAGUAAGUGGAGUGCAAUACAAUCUUUUUGUUAUACAUAACAAUAACUAAACGGAGCACACCACAGGAAAUGUUAAAUUAAAUGUUUAUUGAAAGAAUCAACGUUUCAACCCUCCUGGGUCUUUUUAAGAUUAAUAAUAACUAGUACAGUGCAUAAAUAUGUAGAGUGUGCUGGUGCCCCAAGGGGAACCAGCGGGUGUGUGUAGGGAACACAACAGGGGGUAACCCUCACAAAUAUGUGAAAAACUAUUAAGCAAAUUAUCCCUGGGGGAGAAAAAAGCCACCAGGGGUCACAGAGAAGGUCCCUUAGGGAUAUUUAUAGUUCAAUAUAGUAAUCUAAAAAUUUACUUUUAUUAGAACUCCAAUCCUAAAAUCUUACAAGAAGAUAAUCGCAUAUCAUAUAUUGUGUGACGGUGACAUUGUCGUCUAGAAAAUAUUAGAAAAUGAACUAAGUUACAUAUGGAUGGGUGCCUGAGUCAACCGCUGUGAGCAUAUAGACUGCUUCAAACAAUGUGGUCUAUCCUAUCCAACUCAACCGUGGCUCUUCUAGGGAGACCUGAGUGUCUGAUUGCUCAUUCACUAACAGUAAUUGGGGAUGCUAGAAGUCUGUGCCCUGGGAAAUAUAUACAGUAUGUACAACAGUAUGAGCUCAAUAGAUGGCUAAAACACCUGAGCUGGGGACCGUAUCUAAUAUAUACCCCAUAAAUACGAUCUAUGGAUAUAACAAUCCUGCCCAGUCAGGCUACGCAGUUCAGCGCCUGCUAAUAGUAUAGGCUAGUCUGUCCCUUAUACAGCUAAUAUGGCCAGCGUGAUAUUCUGCAUGGUAACUAUUACAUAGCGGAUUAAAAAUUAACCCGCGGUUUUCCUGCAAUAACAAUGUGUCAGCCUAAGAUCAUGUACAAAGUGUCUAGUGCUGAUCUAGAUUAGCGGUGGAAAGCCGAGGGGGGGCUAGUAUGUCCCUUGUAUAACUGAUAUAUGCAGCGUGAAAUAUUGAAUGGUAGCUGUUAUAUACAGGAUUAAAAAAUAAGAACGCUGAGAAAUAGUAGAAAUCCCGGUGAUAGCCAUAUGCCUAUCCCACACAUGCGUAAAGGUAAAUAAUAUCGGAGCGCUAAACAAAUUAAUAAGAGCUCUAUAGAGGCAAAUAGCUAGAGCUACUGGUGAUUUUCCCAGAAAUUAUGGUUUUAACGUACUCUAUUUGAGGAAAAUAUAUUAUAUACUUCAGCUACAACACUUCAAUGCGAUCCCUUCACCACAUUAUAAGAAGUAUCUAAAGUCAAAAUAAGUUUCAAGAAGUGGAGCGAUAUUAAGGUGAUAAGCCCCUUCCCACAUGCAUCCAAAAUUGAAAUAAAAGAGGAUGCUUAUACUUCUCAGUAGAUGGCAUUCACAUGCUCAGAGACAUAUGGUACAUGCAAAAAGAGGGAAUUAAAAAUAAUGAUAGUGCAGAUCUGUAUGGAUAACAAUUAUAUUAUACCUAUCUAGGUAUGGCUGAUUUUCACAUACAGUAUAUGUACUGGUAAAGUGAAUGGUUAAAUGACUAAAAGUUUAAAAGAAUACAAAAGUACUUUACAUCAAUAAAAAUGUGCAAACAGAUUGCUGCUUACUGGAAUUUGUGGUGAGUAAAACGGUAUAUUUACCCGUUACUCACAUACUCGCUUUCCCACACUGGGAGAUGUUUCCUGCGGGUAGGUCAGGCGAAAUACCGAUGAGUGGAGUCCAAAUAGCAGAUUGUUCAAUGGUUAUAUGUCCGCUGUUUGUAAAUUCCCGGCUCACGCUAUGGCUCUGCCCACCUUGUCAGCAUGUUCACGUCAGAUCGUCUACGCAUUUCGCCGUUCUCCGACGGCUUCGUCAGGAGGUAAUGAAGCUCCCACACGUGCUUAAAGGGUGAUCCCGGAGUCCCUCUGGGCACGGAGAGCUAUACAAGUCUGAGAGGCGAAUCUGCUAAAACUAAGAUGGCGGACGCACAUGGGCCUGAAACACAAGACCUGCCAGAGCACCACACUAAUCCUCCUGACCACGGUGGCUGUACACAGACCUCGUUAGAGGCAAUCUUUGAAAAAUCCUGGGCCAGGCUGCAGGAGCGCAUGGCAAUCCCUACCUGCAGAGACAGCAAGGAAGGAUCGGAGGACGGAGCGGGGAGUGUACCCUCUGGGUACCAUCGACAAGCACAUGUCUACAUUACCCACAGAAUGCCCUCCUGGGCAGGGGGCCAACAAGGACUUGCCCCUGAAACACCAUCCACGCAAGCGGAGGACCGCCAAACGGAACAAAAAGACCAUCAGAACCUCAUGCACUCCCCUUCGUGGGAAGGACUGGGACUAGAGGUGUCGGCCCCUACUAAAGCCCAGGGCCGAAUGAGAGCCAUCCCUGGAGGCUGCCUUACCACCUCUUCCAGCGAACUUUGCACGUCCACACAGAGCCCAACUGCUACAAGCACCAUGGACUGUAUGUUGCAUAAGGGUAGGGGGACUGCAGUUAGUCUAGGCCCAGAGGACCAUAGCUACCAGGGCACAGCGCUUGAUACAAUAGGCCUGGUCUAAAGUAGUCGUUAAAUAUAGGCUUAGGCAGAUCCCCUAGUUAAGAGGUGCCCAAUACAUGCUCCACUAACCAAUACAUUAACUCCCUGCGGACCAUAAUCCCUAGUAGUAAGCAUCCACUCAGUUAACGUAGACUAGUCUGUUUUAAUCAUACUAAAAUAUCUUAGCCUGAUGUCAGGUCGCAAUGCCUGUGUAACACUAUGCUUUAUGAUCGCUCUCCACUGACAUGACUACCCAUGCCUGUUUAUAUUGCAAAAAUUUACAUGUUCCUCAUUUUAUUCAUCUUUACCCUUUAAACAAGAGCAAUGUUGUAGUUAAGAUUGUACUCUCAUAAUCUCUUCAAAGGUCACUGCGUUUAACCUGCUAUGUUCCCUAGACUGCCCUAUCCUAAAGCAGACAUGUUGGCUUAACUCAUGAUGAAACUUGAAUAUAUUUUCAGUGGCAAAAAUUGUGCUGUUAUUGCAUGUCACGAUACUGUUUCACCUGUGUUUUCGCAUUCGCUUGUGCAUGCUGUUGUGGCAACAUGAGCCUGUUUGUAAAUCUAAGCACCGCAAAAAUAAAGAUUGACAAAUACAUAAAGGAAAUCAACACCGUAAAGAGGGAGACUAUAUUUAACCCCUUAAGGACUGAGCCAAAUGUACAAGUUGUGAUCAAAACAAAACCUGGCAUUUGCGCUAUAUGUCUGUUCAGACGUAAUUCAUCUCUUUCGUAUAAUGUGCACUCACACUUAUUAUAUAUAAUUUUAUUCAGGGGAAACAGGGCUUUCAUUUAACCCCUUAAGACCGCAGCCAAAUGUACAAGUUGUGAUCAAAACAAAACCUGGCAUUUGCGCUUUAUGUCUGUCUAACCGUAAUUCACCUCUUUCAUAUUAUAUGCACCCACACUUAUUAUAUAUCAUUUUAUUCAGGGGAAACAGGGCUUUCAUUUAACAUCAAAUAUUUAGGUAUGGAACAUAGUUUAAUAUAAAUAAAAAUAUAAAAAAAUGGGAGAAAAAAAACAGUACCCCCUAUGUACAGGUUUUAUGGUGUUUUGGGAAGUUACAGAGUCAAAUAUAGCAUGUUACAUUUUUGAUUUUUUUCACAUUGAAAUUCACCAGAUUGGUUACGUUGCCUUUGAGACCAUAUGGUAGCCCAGGAAUAAGAAUUACCCCCAUGAUGGCAUUGCAAGGUAAGGUAUUGCAAAUGGGGUAUAUCCAGUCUUUUUUUUAGUAGCCACUUCGUCACAAACACUGGCCAAAGUUAGUGUUAAUAUUUGAAAAUGCAAACAACUAAUUUGAACACCAAUUUUGGCCAGUGUUUGUGACUAAGUGGUUACUAAAAAAGACUGAACAUACCCCAUUUGCAAUACCCUGGGUUGUCUACUGUUGCAAAUGGUAUGCCAUCAUGGGGGUAAUUUUCAUUCUUGGGCUACUGUACGGUCUCAAAGGCAACAUAACCAACCUGGCGAAUUUUAAAGUGAAAAAACUGAAACGUAAGCCUUAUAUUUGACUCUGUAACUAUUGAAAACACCAUAAAACCUGUACAUGAGGGGUACUGUUAUACUCGGGAGACUUCGCUAAACACGAAUAUUAGUGUUUCAAAACAGUAAAACGUGUCACAACAAUUAUAUCGUCAGUGUAAGUGCCAUUUGUUUGUGAAAAAUGCAAAAAAUGUCACUGUCACUGACAAUAUCGUCGUUGUAAUACAUUUUACUGUUUUGAAACACUAAUAUUUGUGUUCAGCAUAGUCUUCCAAGUAAAACAGUACCCCCAUGUACAGGUUUUAUGGUGUCUUGGAAAGUUACAGGGUUAAAUAUAGUGCUAGCAAAUUAAAUUCCCUGAACUUUCGGCCUGGGUUGUCAGGCAGGUCCUGCAAAUUGUAAUUACUAAAAUGACCUAAUUAUGUAAAAUUAUGACAUAAAUAUAUACGUAGAAUUAUUUAUAUAUAUAUAUAUAUAUAUAUAUUUAUAUGUAUAUAAUUUUUUUAAAUUAUUUUUAUUUAUAUAUAGGUAUAUAAUUAGUGAUAUACGUAUUUACUUAUGUAUAUAGAUAUAUAUAUAUUAUUUCGUUCUGCAUGUAUUUUGAUAUCUAUAUAUAUAUUAAUUUUAAAAUACAGUUAGAACAAAAUUACACAUGUAUAUAUUUUUAUUUAUUUUUUUAUUUUUUAACAUAUUUACAUAUUUAUUUUUUAUUAUAUAUAAAUAUAUAUAAUGAAAAUUAUAUAUUUAAUCAAUAUCAUUGUACGUGUAUUUUGCUAUUACUAUAUAUAACUAUGUAUAUAUUAAUAUAUUAAAAUACACUUAGACAGUGUAUGUGUGUGUAUAUAUACUUAGAUCAUAUAUAUAAAAUGUUACACUGUUUAAACUUAUUUCAGUUUCAGACAGCAGGGGGAGUACCUGUCAUUAGAGGCAACCGGGUAAGUACAUAAGAUUGCAGGGCGUUCUAUGCCGCCCUGCAGCGUUUAGAGCCAUCUAAAUAAGGACAGCAUAGAACGCUCUGCGGUCUUAUGGGGUUAACAUCAAAUAUUUAGGUAUGAAACAUAAUUUAAUAUGAAAAAAAUAUUUAAAAAAUGGGAGAAAAUAAGUUUGUUAAAAUUUUUUUUAGUUCUACAUGACAUUUUAACUGUGAAUGUAUAAUACUGUUUGCUUUUACUGCAAUAAAAUACACAUAAUUGGAUUCAGCGAUGUCUCGCGUGUAAAACCGUACCCCCUAUGUACAGGUUUUAUGGUGUUUUGGAAAGUUACAGGGUCAAAUAUAGUAUGUUACAUUUUUCUGUUUUUUCACAUUGAAAUUCCCCUGAUUUGGUUAAAUUGCUUUUGAACCCGUAUGGUAGCCCAGGAAUGAGAAUUACCCCCAUGAUGGCAUACCAUUUGCAAUAAUAGACAACCCAAGGUAUUGUAAAUGGGGUAUGUCCAGUCUUUUUUAGUAGCCACUUGGUAACAAACACUGGCCAAAUUUAGUGUUCAUAUUUGUUUGUGUGUGAAAAAUGGGGAAGGAGGGGAAACAAAUUUGAACUCCAAUUUUGGCCAGUGGCUAUUAAAAAAGACUGGACAUACCCCAUAUGCAAAUGGUAUGCCAUCAUGGGGGUAAUUUUUAUUCCUGGGCUACCAAUCUGGCAAAUUUCAAUGUGAAAAAACUGAAAUGCAAGUGUCACGACACAGCCCGAGCCCAGCAGACAGCAAGGCGUGGCCCGCCCCUUUAAGAGUCCUGGCUGGGUUUGAACUCCCUGCUACAGCAUGCCAGUCAGGUUCUCUGCCGUGCUGUCCACCGGGGGCCUCAGUUUCUGUUUACCCUGGAUUAAGCAGCACUGAUCCACCUGCAGCCCUUUUCCAAUUAGGGUCAGCUGCACCUAAUAAGCAGGCUGUAAAAGCCAGCCCUGCCUGAGACCUAGUAUCUGCUCAUUUUGCCUGUUUAGGGUUUCCUGCCGGAUCUUUGAUUUGCUACUGACUGAUUUCCUGGACUCUGACCUCUGCCUGAUUUACUGACUUUGUUACUCCGCUGCCAGCCCUGACUACUUCUGCUUCUCGCCUGACCCUGCCUUUGGAUUUUCCCUUAAUCUGUACAGUGUUUUGGAUUUUGCCUGCUUCCUGUACCAUCUCCUGCAACUGGGCUCCAACUCCUGAUAAACUGUUCCAUAAGUCCCCUGGUAACUGUUACAGCAAGCCUUAUAUUUGACUCUGUAACUCUUCAAAACACCAUAAAACCUCUACAUAUGGGGUACUGUUAUACUCGGGAGACUUCGCUGAACACAAAUAUUAGUGUUUCAAAACAGUAAAACGUAUCACAACAAUUAUAUCGUCCGUGUAAGUGCCAUUUGUGUGUUAAAAAUGCAAAUAAAAUUACGAUAUCAUGAUUGUAAUACAUUUUACGGUUUUGAAACACUAAUAUUUGUGUUCAGCAAAGUCUUCCGAGUAAAACAGUAUCCACCAUGUACAGGUUUUAUGGUGUCUUGGAAAGUUACAGGGUUAAAUAUAGUGCUAGCAAAUUAAAUUCCCUGGACUUUCGGCCUGGAUUGUCAGGCAGGUCCCACAAAUUGUAAUUAAUAAAAUGACCUAAUUAUGUGAAAUUAUUAUAUAUAUAUAUAUAUAUAUAUAUAUAUAUAUAUAUAUAUAUAUAUAUAUAUAUAGUGUGUGUGUGUGUGUAUAUAUAUAUAUAUAUAUAUAUAUAUUCAUUUUAAAAUAGAACAAAAUUACACAUAUAUAUAUUUUUUAUUUAAUGUAUUUACAUAUAUAUUUUUAUAUUCUAUAUAAUUAUAUAUUUAAUCAAUAUCAUUCUACGUGUAUUUAAAUAUUAAUAUACAGGUAAUACUCGAAAAAUUAGAAUAUCGUGCAAAAGUUCAUUUAUUUCAGUAAUGCAACGUAAAAGGGGAAACGAAUAUAUGAGAUAGAUGCAUUACAUGCAAAGCAAGAUAGUUUAAGCCGUGAUUUGUCAUAAGUGCGAUGAUUAUGGCUUACAGCUCAUGAAAACCCCAAAUCCACAAAUCUCAGUAUAUUAGAAUAUUACUUGCAAUCAAUAAAACAAGGAGUGUACGUAGAACAAUAUCGGACCUCUGAAAAGUAUAAGCAUGCAUAUGGACUCAGUACUUGGUUUGGGCCCCUUUUGCAGCAAUUACUGCCUCAGUGCGGCGUGGCAUGGAAGCUAUCUGCCUGUGACACUGCUGAGGUGUUAUGGAAGACCAGGAUGCUUCAAGCAUCUAGCAGUGUGUGCCUCUCCAUUCUUCCCCCAGACUCUUGGUUUCCAAAUGAGAUGCAAAAGUUGCUGUCAUCAGAAAAGAGGACUUUGGACCAUUGAGCAACAGACCAGGUCUGUUUUUUUUUUUUUAGCCCAGGUAAGACGCUUCUGACGUUGUUUGUUGUUCAGGAGCGUCUUGACAAUCGAAAAACGACAUCUGAAGUCCAUGUCCAGGAUCCGUCUCUGUGUGGUGGCUCUUGAUGCACUGACUCCAGCCUCAGUCCACUCCUUGUGAAAGUCCCCAACACUUUUGAAUGGCCUUUUCCUGACAAUCCUCUCCAGGCUGCGGUCAUCCCUACUGCUUGUGCACCUUUUUCUUCCACACUUUUCCCAUCCAUAUAACUUUGUAUUAAUGUGCUUUGAUAAAGCACUUUGGGAACAUCCAACUUCCAUCGCAAUUACCUUUUGAGGCUUUCACUCCUUAUGGAGGGUGUCAAUGAUGAUUUUCUGCACAACUCCUACUGAACCAGACUGAGAGACCAUUUAAAGGCUCAGAAACCCUUUGCAGGUGUUAUGGCUUACUUAGCUGAUUAGAGUGGGACACUGUGAGCCUAGAAUAUUGCACCUUUUCACAAUAUUCUAAUUUACUGAGAUUGUGGAUUUGGGGUUUUCAUUAAAUGUAAGCCAUAAUCAUCGCACUUAUGACAAAUCACGGCUUGAACGAUCUUGCUUUGCAUGUAAUGCGUCUAUCUCAUAUAUUAGUUUCCCCUUUUACGUUGCAUUAUUGAAAUAAAUUAAAUUUUGCACGAUAUUCAAAUUUUUCGAGUAUCACCUGUAUAUAAUUUUAUAUAUAUAUAUAUAUAUAUAUAUAUAUAUAUAUAUAUAUAUAUAUGUGUGUGUGUAUAUAUAUAUAUAUAUAUAUAUAUAUCUAUGUAUGUGUAUAUAUAUAUAUAUAUAUACUUAUAUACCUACUAUAUAUAUAUAUAUAUAUAUAUAUAUAUAUAUANNNNNNNNNNNNNNNNNNNNNNNNNNNNNNNNNNNNNNNNNNNNNNNNNNNNNNNNNNNNNNNNNNNNNNNNNNNNNNNNNNNNNNNNNNNNNNNNNNNNCCCCAGCAAACAAAGUGCUAAAAACCCUUAUUACACUCACCGUAUUCUAUCUCCGCCUCCUCCGAAAUCAGCACCGAGGGGGGACCUAAUGCAUAUGUGUGGAGUGUGCUGCACACAGUUGUGCUCAAAAGUUUGCAUAUCCUGUCAGAAAUUUUGACAUUAAAUUUGAAAAUAUAAAAUUUUGAAAAUAGGACUGAUCAUGCAAAAAAAUUUCUUUUAUUGAAGGAUUCUGAUCACAUGUUCUGAAACAUAAUUUGUUUCGUUCCUAAUGUACAUUUGGCCGAAUUUUGUGAAAUUCGGAUGCUUACGAAUGUCCGAAGUGCCGAAGUUUGGUAGUUCGGAAGUGGCGAACCAAACCAAAUUGACAAAGUUCCAAAGUGCUUCGGAUUUCUGAAAAGUGGCAAAACAAGAGAGAGAGAGAGAGAGAGGGAAAAUUACGUGAAUGAUGACAAGAAUCUUGACCAAUAAGCUAAUUCCUGGCACUGGGAGCCUUAUAGAUGUGUAAGUGGUUGUGGUGGCAAUCCUGGCACUGGGAGCCCUACAGAUGUGUAAGUGGUUGUGGUGGCAGUCCUGGCACUGGGAGCUCCCUGCCCAUUAGAGUAACCACAACCACUUACACAUCUAUAGGGCUCCUGCCUCCCAGUGCCAUGAUUGCCACAACAACCACUUACACAUCUAUAGGGCUCCCUGUGCCAGGACUGCCACCACAACCACUUACAAAUCUGUAAGUGCCUUCACCCCCGGGUCGCACAGAUGGUAUAUACAGGCAUUAACAGAUGUGACCUUCACUGCAUCAAAGCUGCAUCUUCCAGCACUCCAGGGACACUCCAGACCCCUAAAGCACUCUAGUUUGCUGAAAAGCUCUAUGUGUGAAGAGCGUGUCCUCUUUUUUUAAUUUUACAAAAAGUGCAAAUUUCAAUAGAAAUUGGAACAUUUAUAAAUGCACCUGGUUACACCCCCUGGCUGUCAAUCAGACAACAGAUCCUGUUACUUCCUGGUUUGGUUAGCUCAGUGGAGCUAAACUCAAGAGGCAACAGCAGCCCAGAUCACCUGCCUUGCAAAGACUUCUCAUUGAGCUGCAUUGGGAAGUCUGUGAUUGGACAGCCACAGAAAGUCUGGGCGGGGUUAGGAUAGGGCAUGAAAAGGAAGCAGACAAGAGAUCUGUAGCUUUUUAGAUAUUUCUCCAGUGAAACAAAUGGAUAAUUAAAUGCAUGCAAGUGUUCAUAUGGGGUAUAUCUAUUUUGUAUUUAGGCAGUAGAGUGUCCCUUUAACAUAGUCCGAUCACCCUGAUUUAUUAUGAGAAAUUUCAGGGGACAGUGCUGCAAAUAAGGUGGCAUUUGGGACAAGGAGGGGUGUGGCAUUGAUGCAACAUGUGUCACUGUCUCAGGCCCACCAGGUUACUGUCAGCCUCCCGGCAGGCCCCAUACAGGGCUGACCACUGCUGCAACACUCCCUGCAUAGUCCUAGUGUCCUAAGCACAGAGCAAGCACAUCCAAUGAUGCAUCCAGGACACCGGAGAACAAGAUCAGGUUGACAUGAAAUCAGGACUAUUAGGAGACCUUCAUGCCACUGGUGAUGCAUUGAGGGGCUGGGACAAGUGACGGAGCCUUCAUCACAAAGAAUGGGCAGGUCCCUAUAAAGAGGUGGCAGAUGUAACUUAAUCAGGCCAUUCUAUGCACACAGAUUCUCAAUCGCAAAUACAAAGUGCUAAUUAUUUAACUAGGUAUUCUCUUACAUCAGAGGUCGCUGUAACUACCACAGAUUAUUCUGGAAAAGAUUAAAACAUCACUUAUGCAUAUUCUUUAAAUACACUUUAGCUUCUGCCCAUCAUCGCGCAAAUCAUGCGGGAUAUACCACGAAUGUAAAAACACAGUGUAUACGUCAAUAACAGUAAUGUUUCCUAAACUAUUGACCCUUUAAUCUGUAAUCUACAGGUACACCCAGAUUAUAAACCUGUAAUCCCCCUAAACCACUCCUAAAUCCUCAUAUUUAAUCCAUUUAAAACUAGCACUUUUCGGGCGUUCAGUUAAUGAUCACACUGUCAAGCUUGUUAUAAAUGAAGUGGCAAAUAUUUGCUUCUCGUUCAUUCUUAACAGAAGAUUCAAACACUCUUUCAUCUGAAGUUAAACAACAGGCUGUCAUAUACUUGAAUCUACUUUCUUGUUUGGAACAGACGGAUAGACACAGGUAGGUGGGUAUAGCUAGACUGAUAACGAUGCCGUGAAUUGUAGAACAGGGAAUAGACUCAAGCUGUAUCUAAAACAUUUAUCUUCCCAGGACGAGUGCUAAGCACAGUGUGAUUCAUUUUAAUAGCUGGAAAAUAAUAUGCAAUAUCACGUUAGAUUUCAAGCCUUUGAAGGGCAGACUUCAAAACCUUCCUUUCUUCUCUAGAACGGUUGAAGUCCAUUUACUGACCUAUUAUAAUCGGACUUAAUCAAACUCAAUUAAAAAAAUAAUAAAAAAAUAAAAUAAAACCAGUGGCGUCAGAUGAAGCCAAUUUAUGCAGAAAAAAAAAAUAAGAAAAAAAAAAAACUUAAAUGAAUUUAUCGAUUUUAAAACUCCUUUUGAGAGCCAUGCCGCCUGCAGCUUCCUUGACUCAAAAAUUCAGCGCUCAGUUUUGUGAACUCUGCGUGACGUUGGCUCCCUUUGGCGGAAACUGAAAGUUUUACUGAUCUACUUAGAAAAUCGGCACAGAAAGUAUCUACUUUACUCGAAAUCAAUGGACAUGAAGCAAAAGAGAAGAAAAGAUGGGAAAGAUUGAAGAAUCCACUCCUGACGUGGCGCUUGUUUUGAGAAUUUGAAGGCUGAGCAUAACUUUUUUUUUUCCCCCUACAUGGCGGCUUCGCAAUUAAACUUCAGAGUAAAAAAACACUGCUGGGGUGGAUACCCAACUCUAGAAUCCUUUCAGUCACAGUGUUUCCAUCGCAUUCCCUUUGGCACACAUGGCAUUAAUGUAGCCAGGCGUCACGCAGUGGUUCUCAAUAUAAUGGAGGCAUCGUUUACUAUGACAAAUAUGCAGGCCCGGACUGGCCAUCGGGCAAACCGGGCAAAUGCCCGGUGGGCCGCGAUGGCCAUGGACCAAGGCCGGUAGGAAAGAUCAAGAGAUCUCCCCUGCCGGCCCAUGCGCAGCAGCACCGGCCCCAAGAUGGAGUUCUAUCCCAUCAUGGGCCGGAGAGGAGAUCGGGCAGUGAGCCGAUCACUCUCUGCGCACGCCGAGCAGCUUCCUUUCUCCUCUUCUCGCGAGCUCCGAGAUUAUCAGAGCGUUGCCAUGGUAACCCACGGCAACACUCUGAAAAAACGGCGCUCGCGAGAGGGAGAGAAUUACCUGCCGCUGGACCGCCAGGGAUGUGUGUGGCGUAGCCCCCCCUCACUGGACCACCAGGUAUGUGAAUGCUCCCUCCCCCCCUGCAAAGUUAAAAGGGGGAGUAUAUGGAAUUAUUAUUUUUUUUUUUUUACUUUUUAAUAAUAAUAAUAAUUUAAGGCCAUAUACACACACAAACACACUACACACACUGCACCACUAACACACAAACAUUCUGCUCCCCACCACUAACACACAAACACAGACUGCACAAACACAGACUGCACUAACACAGACUGCACUAACACACACUGCACUAACACACACUGCACCACUAACACACACACACAGACUGCACUAACACACACUGCACCACUAACACACACACACACUGCACUAACACACACUGCACCACUAACACACACACACACUGCACUAACACACACUGCACCACUAACACACACACACACCACUAACACACACACACACUGCACUAACACACAAACACAGACUGCACUAACACACACUGCACCACUAACACACACACACACUGCACUAACACACAAACACACACUACACCAACACACACCAAAAAUCUCACUAACACACAAACACAGACUGCACUAACACACACUGCACCACUAACACACACAACACACCGCACCACACACCACCAACACACACACACACACUGCACUAACACACAAACACAGACUGCACUAACACACACUGCACCACUAACACACAAACACAGACUGCACUAACACACACUGCAGCACUAACACACACACACACUGCACUAACACACAAGCACAGACUGCACUAACACACACACACACUGCACUAACACACAAACACAGACUGCACUAACACACACUGCACCACUAACACACACACACUGCACUAACACACACACGCAUCACUAACACACACACACACACUGCACUAACACACAAACACAGACUGCACUAACACACACACACACACACUGCACUAACACACAAACACACACACUGCACUAACACACACUGCACCACUAACACACAAACACACACUGCACGAACACACAAAUAUACUGCUCCCCUGCACAAACACACACUGCAGUAACACACACACACUGCACUAAAACACAAACAUACUGCUCCCCUGCACUAACACACUACACACACAGCACCCCCUGCACUAACACACAAACACACUACACCCCCUGCACUAACCCACAAAAACACUGCAUACACUCUAUACCCCUGCAUACACUCUAUACCCCUACAUACACACUACAGCCCCUGCAUUAACACACAAUACACACUCUAUACCCCUAUAUCCACACUGCACCUCCUGCACUUACACACAAACACACUACACACACUCUAUACCCCUUAUAUACACACUAGUCCCCUGGCACUCACAUACACACACUAAACACACUCUAUACACCAUAAACCUACACUACACUACACUCCCUGCACUCUCAUACGUUAUACCCCUAUUAACACACACAUUACACCCCCUGCAUGCACCCACACUAAUUUAUAUUGCCUAUAAAUACAUAUUCUGCACCCCCUGUACACACUACACCACCUAUGCAUACAUUAUCCCCCCUAUACACAUGUGCUCUACAGCUCCUAUAUGCAUAAACACACUAGAGCCCCUAGAUACACUCACAAACACACAGUACAGCUCCUUACAUGCACACACUCCACAGGCCCUAUAUAAAUACACACACACAAACACACAUACUUUACAACCCAGAGACACAAACACUACAGCCCCUAGCCACAUGCAGUACGCCACAAACAGACCCCUUCACACACACAAUUGCUCUACACACAUGCAAUGUCCAAACAUAGACAACAACACAAGGAACAUCCCCACACAUGCACAACACUCUUUAACAGUCCGGUUCCUGUUUUGAUCUCUGGUAUCCCACUAUUGAGGACACCAGAGACAAAUCGCCAGCAAACGCAGCACAAACUCAACCCCCCUUGCCCCCUAGAAAAAUCUCAUGGCAUUUAUUUUAGCCAGGAGCACUGGAUGCUCUGGAGGAGCAUCACAUUAACAUACUCAUUUGGUGGGGGGGAAGGUGGUGUGCGUGUCAAUGGUGGUGACAUGACAUGCCCCCUUUCUGGCCCCGCCCCUAAUAGUGGGCUGAUCUGCCUUUAAUUGCCCGGGCUGAAUUUUUGUCCCAGUCCGGCCCUGCCUGUAAUAUGUCUAAGUUCUAGGAAGUGGAUCCAAAUAGAGGAAAUCAUGAAUAAAAUGAGCUUUAAUGUGAUGGCUCAAAAAGGGAAAAGCCUCUUGGCCACUAGUGAACUAAAUGUAACUACGUAUAAAACAAAUGUCAGUCAUCCCAGAGACAAGGAAAUAAUAGAUCUGAUGCUGCCCUAAUUGAAGAAACCGACAAUUAAGUCCCAAAUAUAGGCAGGAUAGCCAAAAAAAUAAAUAUCAAAACAAUAUAGAUUAGUAGAAGUAGCUAAAGAUAUCUAUCAAAUCAUGGAAUAACAUAUACCAACAAUUACAGCACUUAUCCCUACCUCGUACUUAUCGUAAACAGCAGAAGCCGGUGAACCCGGAGAUACCUCAUACAAGCCUGUACAACACCGAAUUGCGCGGAGGCCUACUGGAGCUUGAGCCAGGUGAACGGGUCCCUCUCUCGGUUCUCUGACCGGCACCUAGCCAUCCCCACACACCCUUCGACCAGUGGGUGUUAUCCCGGUCCCCACUGGCGGACACCACUACUGUCUGCAGACUUCCCACAGCUGCUCUGAAGCAGGCAUCAAACAGAGCAGACUGACCCAAGAUGGCGGACACGCUGCAACCACAUGUGCUGGAAACUACCACGAUCACCAGAGACAACGUGGAGUAGGCACGGCGACGCCUGACUGAAAUCUUUAAGAGAUUCUCGGACAAACUCCUAACACACAUCAGGGAGGAGGGGAGUAAGCAGAGACAGGAGAAGAGCAGGCCCCUCCAGAGCGCACCUUCCACAGUGGCGGCACAUCCACCCCGAAGGGGCCCACCGGGUUGAAGGCCAACAGGGAAACGAUCCCAGUGCAUCACCCACGCGCACAGAGGACCCUGUUGCCACAGACUGCGACGGAUUAUCAAGAUUCAAUGCUGUCCACCCACAGGGAAGAACUCUUUCUCCAGUGAGAGCUCCCAGGUUCGUGGAUGUCGGAUGCAGGCCUCCGGGACGGCCUGGAGCGGUGAGGGGUCACUGUCUAGACACAGUCUCUCUUCAUGCAGCUCGUCCCCCCCACCUUCCACUUAGCAAGGGCAUCGGCUGACUUGAGCCUGCAUACCUUGAGCUCAUAGACGAAUAGUAACAGGACUUCCCUAAUGCCUACCGGCCUCCCAAGUUCCCCCCUCAUUUUGAUAUCCAUCUUUUAGGACUCUCCGCACUCUCCCCACAAAUAUGACAGGCCGACGUAUGUACCCAAAGUCAGGGAACCGGAAGUGGUAAACAGAAGACCACACUCAUGCUUAUUCCUCCCAGGGACUCUGAAAGGGCACCCAACUAGCCGGACAGAUUGGCAGCUACCCUCAUGACCAUCUAUGGGUACCAGGGAACGAAUCCAGCUUACCGACUUUGGGUUUGCAGAGCCUGAAAUUUGUUACUAUUUAGUCUGUUAUCCGUUUGUUUUUCAUCAUGUAUAGUUAGGUGCAGCCAUUUAAAACUGAAGCUUAGUUCAGUGGUUUUCAACUUAACUCCAUAUUCUGCACAUGUCUAGUCCAUGCAACUCCAGAUUAUGUUCUCCGGCUAGUCAGACAAGUGCUACGCUUAAAGGACCACUAUAGUGCCACGAAAACAUACUCGUUUUCCUGGCACUAUAGUGCCCUGAGGGUGCCCCAACCCUCAGGGUCCCCCUCCCGCCCAGCUCUGGGGAGAGGAAAGGGUUAAAACUUACCUUUUUUUCCAGCGCUGGGCGGGGAGCUCUCCUCCUCUUCUCCGCCUCCGAUCCUCCCUUUCGGCUGAAUGCGCACGCGCUGCAAGAGCUGCGCGCGCAUUCAGCCGGUCUCAUAGGAAAGCAUUUACAAUGCUUUCCUAUGGACGCUUGCGUGUUCUCACUGUGAUUUUCACAGUGAGAAUCACGCAAGUGCCACUAGAGGAUUUGGAGUCUGGAUUAACCCUAUUAUAAACAUAGCAGUUUCUCUGAAACUGCUGUUUAUUUAAAAAAAAAAAAAGGGUUAAAUCCAAGAGGGACCUGGCACCCAGACCACUUCAUUAAGCUGAAGUGGUCUGGGUGCCUAGAGUGGUCCUUUAAGCAUGUUUACUGCGCAGAUCAGCAUGUACUAAAUCAUAUUUUCUAGUAUUCAUUAAUUACCCUACUGCAACAGUUAUAUCUAACCUGCUUUACUAUGUAUACUUAUUUACCAUAGUCAACUCAAGUAUUGCCAGCCUGUUAUAUGUAACUAAUAUAAGAGCAAACGUAUACAGAGGACAGGAAUACAGUGGUACUAUAUCUUGUUAUAAUGCAUAAUAUGUUCAAUGUUAACCUAGAUACGAGUAGCAUUCAAUUUAAACGUGACCCCUAGCCUGCAACCUACAGCUUGUACUUUUGUAUUGUCAGCUAUAUGUAUCUCACGGUCUAAACUUGCCUAUAGCUAGGUGACCCACCUUAGUUACUCCAGCUAUAAUUGUUAUGCACAUUCAUACCAUGAGCCAUGAGUCUAUUUUUUUUAAUUGUUUUUUUAUGCAUGUUGUGAGCAUAAUUACACAUAUCUCCUUAACCCUGAUACCCAACUUUUUCAACUCUGAGACAUGUCAGAAAGUCCAAGCUUGUUAUACCACAAAAAUGUGCAAACUUGAGGGGGGCGUGGCCGACGACCAGACUGAAUGGCCACACACUAACUUAGCUCCGAGCUAAAAGGGCUGAAAACUCUGUCAUUGGAGACUCACAACCGAGAUGGGGAACAACAAAAAGCAGCAGACCACUCACCCACCAACGGGGAAGACCCCGGCGGGCAAACCGGGACCGGUAACCCGCUUAUUCCGCGACUACGCCGAUCGCGUCUCAGAGCAUGGAGACUCCAACAUGGCGCCGGCUGCAGCCUACACGAGCUCCCAGCCACAAAGCCCAGCGGCAUCCGUGGACAUCAAUGAGCUCCUGAGGAACCUACCAUCCAAAGCUGACCUGGCACAAAUGCUGGGGAAAAUAGAAUCCACGUUCCAGCACAAAAUGGAGGGCCUCAGCUCUGAUAUUCAAAAGGUAGGCCACAGGGUACAGGACCUGGAAGACGAGAGGGGAUCCUUUCAGACACGGAUACAAGACCUAACUGCUACAGUGAAUUCCCACGACAGACACCUCUCCAUGAUGCAAAGGUCACUAGACGACCUAGAUAACAGGGGACGGAGAAAUAACCUCCGCAUAAGGGGGCUUUUGGAGACAGACAAUGAAAAUCUGCACGACCAAUUAACCAUCCUCUUUAACUCCAUACUAGGCCGCCCUCCAGACACACAGAUACUCCUGGACAGAGCGCACAGAUCCCUACGGCCAAAGAAUGGGAUUGGGGAAGCACCUCGAGACAUAAUAUGUCGCAUUCAUUACUUUACACUCAAGGAUGACAUCCUGAAAACUUUAAGGGACACUUCCGCCCCACUGCUAUACCUCGGCCAAGAAAUCCAAAUAUACCCAGACCUGUCAUGGCUCACCCUACAGGCGAGAAGAGCCUUAAAACCUGUCACUGACCAACUUAGAAUUCGCAAUAUAAGAUACAGAUGGGGCUUUCCAUUCGCCCUCACAGUCAACGCUAGAGGAUCUGCGUUCACAAUCGCAACACAUCAAAACGUAGCCCCAUUUAUAAGGGCACUGAAUCUGAACGAAACCCACGUCAUGGACUGGUACUCGCCGGACCCAGCAGCCUCCCACAAUAAACAACCACGCGACAUGGGAAGACAAUCACAAGCAAAAAAACAGAGAACCGGACAAGUCAGUCCCCAGCAACCAAGAGAGAGAAGACCCAGAGGAGCCAUGGACGACUAACUCAUAUGAACAUAACAUGCUCAAAUCUAUCGGCAACCCACACAUCACCAUAGGAAGAUUACUAUCCCAAGAUGACAACACCUGCGUACGGAAUCACACGGAGAAAGGGAGAACUCGCUUUCCUCUAUCCACUCACAGUGGAUCCCGACGUAAGGGACUUAUCGGGACUUAAUGAUAAACCUAGACAGGACUUGCGAACUCUCGUCGCAACCUAAAGCGACAAAUAUAACACCAAAGACACCCUGCUGGACUCUCAACAUCAGGUCGUAUGUCUAACAAUGUGUUUAAAAAUAUGUACUUUUAACCUACAUUUGCACAUCACAAGACUACCCGGUAGAGUAGUACCUGCCCAAACAUCAGACUGCGACAUACAAGUAGGGAAACGGUUGAGACAACCCACACCAAGGUAAAGGGACAAAAAAAAAAACCCCAAAAAAACAAACCAUAUGCCGUCUCUUGGGAUAAUACUGCCACAUACAUGAGCCACCAUCUGGGACAACAGUCAAGAAGCUCGUCCCCCAUCAGCUCCGCUGCACGUCCCCAUACAUUAAAACGAACUCCACUACACUAGUAUAAGCUUACAAGUUUUCAGCCCCAAAGCUUACAGUGUCCACCACAACAAAUAUCUACACAACACAACGACUCAAGUACCACUCCUAAAUAACACACUUACCACUUACCCACCCACCCCCACCCUACUCUACACUCACUAUAACACACGGUGUCACGACACGCUGGCCUCCUGCAGACUCAGGGACAUCUCAGAGGCCGACACCAGUCACCGUAGUCGCACACAAGCGACUACCCACACAGUUGUUAAAAGGUAUUCAACUACUGUGCCAGGACUAGACCUGGCGAAUUGUAUAUAGUUAAAAGUUGUUAAUAUUACCACUGUUUAUGUGAUUUAAUAUAUUUGUACCGAACGGCACUAUAUUUUGCACAGUGUAUACAAUAUCUUUUGUUACAAACGGCUCACGAUACCAUGGAACAUGAACACUCGCAGUACGACCCUACAAACCCUCCAGAGGUGGGCGCACUCGGGGCAAAAGCCACUAUCACUGUCACCUCCCACAAUGCUAGGGGUCUGAACACAGCAGAAAAACGACACAUGGCACUAUCAGACUAUCAUAGACACAAAGCAGAUGUGGUAUUAAUACAGGAGACACAUUUUCGCAAAGACUCUGCCCCCUCCCUUAAAUCUAGAACCUACUCCAAAGGCUACUUUAGCAAUUUCGCAGAAGCCAAAUCGAGGGGUGUAGCGAUUCUCCUAUCUUCCCACCUUCCAUUCACAUACAUAGAUCAGCUCGCAGACGGCAAUGGUAGGUUCCUCUUCCUUAAAGGACUGAUAGGAAAUACAACCGUCACUUUCGUGAACAUCUAUCUCCCUAAUAGGAAACAGACUCCUGCCCUACGCAAAAUACUGUACAAGCUCGACACCUUUAAGGAGGGCCUUUGAAUCGUAGGAGCAGACUUCAACAUCUCCUUAGACUGGACACUAGACACCACCUCCCAGGCUCAAACAUAUCAAGCCUCAUCUAGAACCCGCAUUCAGGCACUAUUAGACUCGUACCAAUUAUAUGACAGCUGGCGAAUCACUAAUCCUGCAAAACGCGACUACUCAUAUUACUCCCACUCCUCAGGCACAUACUCCAGAAUUGACAUGUUUCUCAUCCCUCAUCGGUUCUUAAACCUAGUCCAAAUGUGCGAGUACGCUACAAUCACCUGGUCUGACCAUGCCCCGAUAUCUAUGACCAUCGCCAUCCCAUCACUACACCCCAAUAGAUCCCAAUGGAAAUUAAAUGACACCCUAUUGAACAAACCGGAGAUACAAACACAAAUCAGGGAAGGGCUGACUCAAUAUUUUGACCAAAACACACAACGUGGUACCUCAUGCCCAAUAAUUUGGGAAGCCCACAAAAGCACCAUUAGGGGUAUAAUCAUCCAACUGGCGUCAAAACACAAAAAACAUAGAGAAGCACAGGCAACUAAACUAACUUAAGAAAUUAGAACACUAGAAGACACACAUAAACAAGAAUCCUCCCUCACUAUAUACUUGCGACUACUAGAAAAGAGGAUGGAACUUAACUCCAUCCUAAAUGCUCGCACCAAACAUGCCCUGGCUAAAACAAGAAGCCUCUACUAUGUCCAAGGGGGAAAAUGUGGGAAACUCAUAGCCCAUGCCUUAAAAAAACAUAGAGAACACACCUUCAUAGCGCUCAUACGCAAUAAAGAAGGGAAACUCUCGCACUCAAUGACUGACAUAUCGAACGCUUUCCACGACUAUUAUUCAGCCCUAUACAACCUUAGACGCACAGCCCCCCAGAUGCAGGACAUAAGGGCGUUCCUAGAGAAGAGAAUACACCACUCCCUUCCAAACAACCUAAAAGACUCCUUGGAACAUCCCAUUUCCACAGAAGAAUGCGCAGAUGUAAUUAAACACCUGCCACAUGGGAAAAGCCCUGGGCCUGACGGGUUCACAGCAAAAUAUUACAAAACUUUCGCGAAGACACUUUGUAAAUGCAUUCAACUCGCUGCUACACUCAGACAAGCUUCCACCCCAGGCCCUUAAUGCAACAAUCACUCUCCUACCAAAACCAGGCAAAGACUUAACUCAAUGCGGUAGCUACAGGCCUAUUUCCCUAAUAAAUGCAGACAUAAAAAUUUUCACGAAAAUCCUAGCCAAUAGACUGCGCCCGAUACUCCCAGGAUUGGUACACGCAGACCAGUCUGGCUUUAUCCCGGGUAGAGAAGCCAAGCAUAACAUCACUAAGAUCUUGAACCUAACACACCAUGCCACACGAGCUGGGUUCCCCAGUCUACUCCUGUCAAUAGACGCUGAGAAAGCGUUUGACAGGGUAGACUGGACCCUGAUGCUGCAGACGCUGCAACAAUUAGGAUUUGGGCCACAUUGGCAAAAAAUGGAUCUCUGCGAUCUAUUCGUGCCCGACCGUGCCCGACCGCCAACAUCCGUAUAAACGUACAACUCACUGACCCGGUAGUAAUUUCCAACGGCACCGCUCCUCUUCGUUCUUGUUUUAGAACCUUUUCUACAGGGGAUCCGGGACAACACUAACAUCAGGGGCAUCCGGACAGGGACAGAGGAACACAAAAUAGCAGCGUUCGGCGAUGAUGUGCUUUUCACAUUGGCAGACCCAGUGGCCUCAAUACCCCACCUGAUGUCAGAGAUGGCUACCUAUAGUACACUCUCCAAUUUUAAAGCAAACAUUAGCAAAUGCGAGAUCCUCUCGAUACAUAUUCAAUCACAAGAGAAGGACGCUCUGCGCAGAGAUCAUCAAUUCACAUGGGCAACACACAGUAUCAAAUAUUUGGGAAUCCACAUCACCAGGAACCUCUCCCAACUAUUCGAGAACAACUUUCCUGACUUAAUAAAGGCCAUAACGCAUGACCUCACCACAUGGAACAAGCCACACUUUGGGUGGUUUUGUAGGAUGAACAUCCUCAAGAUGAACAUCCUACCCAGAAUACUAUACAUGCUACAGGUGCUCCCUAUCACUGUUCCUAAGUGUCAGGAUUACUGUUUGAUCCAGCACGUAGAACUGUACUGCACGGAUGACAAAUAAGUAACGUAUUACCGGUCCUUAGAAUGGCCGGAUUUAACGUACAAAGAAUAGUCAAAAAUACUAGCCGAGGGGGGCGGAGUCUGACUGCUGGAGUGGACGGUCGCAUGCUGCCCGAGCUCCGGGCCCAAGACCAGCAAAUCAACAGAAUACCAAGCCAAAACUAUUGACAAAUUGCUCCACUCACCUAAUGGGCAUUAGCAAGCAGUCCGGGGACACGAUGCAUGCGGUAAACCCGCCGACGGACAGCUACUCCACGAUGAGGCAACUGCGCGGCCUACGGGAGGCCGAGGCGGGGGGAGACGGCCGCUCUCCUUGCACUCCGGUUGACCGUGGAGCCCAUAUUUGCUCCCACCCUCCCCCCUAUGGACCGGCGGGGGUCAUCCCGGUCCCCCAGAGGGCACAGGCAUGCUCACCCCGUCCUAGCCUGAGGGGCCCUGCAGAAUCGGAUUCCCACACGGAAGGAGCCAAGAUGGCCGCCGGACCGAAACCCAUCUCACCUCAAACCUCCAAGAUGCGGGCCACCCAGGGGGACGGUAUCGCCAGGGCCUUUGAUGACUUCUGGGCCAAAUACCAAGAACUAACUCUACAGAGCGAGGCACAGCGUGCUACCGAAGAACCGAACCACAGCAACAGAUGGAUUGACAUGAAUCUGGGCCAGGCAGACCCUAAGCAAGCCACGAGAAAACUGGAGGGAAAGUGGAAACACCACAACAGGUGGAGUGCCACCCAGGGCCUGACCCGGUCUCACCCAUCAGUCCAACCGCAGCCUACCUCCAAGCGCACUUCUUACAGCACCUCAAGAAAUACACUUAAGGCACAGAGGCCUCUCUCCACACAUAGAUCACGAGACCAUCAGGCCGGUCAUCAUCACCGUCCACCCAAACACCCACCGAGAGACCCGGGGAAAAUGCCACGAUGGAACAAACAUAAGCAGCAGUCUAAACCAGGAUGGGGCCAAACUACAGCAUGGAAAGCAGGGAGGAGAAGGCGGGAAACCCGACGCAAGCCCCUGCGGGUCAGCAACAGCCCACCAGCGGUGAGUCACCUAACUGAAAGGAGACAAAUCCAAGGACUAUUCACCCAAACCCCCCCUCCCCGCGCUGUGAUCACAACCCCACCUGGGCAAAGACACCAUGGGGGACCCCAGAAACCCGCAACAACCUACCGUAGAGCUACAGCACUCAGCCCAAGGGGACUCACAUGGAGAAAGGCCUGGCAGGGAGACAUCGUCGGAGACCACCACCGAUCACUACUAUGGGCACCAACCCUGAGGCUGACGGGGAUCGGUUAAACAACCUGACCUGGACUUGGCAUCAUCCACCAAAGGCACUGCACACUAGGUCCACCACACAGUGUAUGCUUAAAGGAUGACUGCACCUGAGCUAGCCACUCAUUAGCAAGUAAUAUAUCUUGAUUAAUCAAAAACAAUAGCCUAAGAUACAACAAGCUGAAACCUAUAAGCAACCACAAGAAUAUUAUGUAACCGCUACAUUUUAAAGUACCAAACAUAUAUUAUUAUGUGUUGUCUAAUCUUGUACCUCACUAUUCAAAUUCAGCAAACAAAAUAACAUUUAGAUAAGCAAAACUAUUAUAUAAAAAAGUGCAAUGCUCAGUAAUGCUCAACUAAUGUCAGGCUAUGGUUGUAAAAUGCUAUCUCUAGCUGUUGUGGCACUAAAAGCCAGCUAUGAUUCUCCUAUGCACACUUAACAAUCUUAACUGCUGUAUGACGCCCCCUAGCUGUGUACACAUAGUCUAACUUUUAUAUGUAUUACCUCAACUAGCUACUGUUAUACUGCAAACCGUGCUUAUACAUUCAGGCUACGAGAAUAUAGCAACUAAACGUUAGUCAAUCUCACUGUAUUCUAGUUAAGCUUAACUUACCAAUCUGUCUAGUUAUGCAUGCUUAAAAAACAAAAAUUGUGCGAAUUCGCAUGCCACUGUUAAACUGCUUUGACCCUUGAAAUAUGCUGUUGUGGCGACUGUUGACAUGUUGUAAUCAUCUGCACAUCAAAAAUAAAGAAUUAAAAAAAAAAAAAUACUAGCCGAGGUCAGGGAACACAGAAAGGGACACAGCGAUGAGGAAAGCCAGGAGUCAGGAUACCAGAAUAUAGAGAAGUCCAUAAACAAAGCCAAAGUCAAAAACCAGGUAGAAAACUAUAAACAGGAACGCGCUCUCAGACAACCACAAGGGAAACCACGACAGGGCACUGAGCAGGCUGAGAACUGGGCCUAAAUACCCCUCCUUUAGUUCUGAUAGGCUGUAACCGGCCUUUGACCCCAAAGUCAGUUACCAGGUUUCAUUUGCAUAAUUGCUGCUCAGCAUUAACCCUUCUGUGGAUUAGGUUGCUGCUCGGCACAACUUUUCCUGUGUGGACAGUAAAUGUCAUUAAUCACUUUUCUCUAAGCGGAUGAAUACAUGACACCAGGUUUCAUUUGCACAAUUACUGCUCAGCAUUAACCCUUCUGUGGAUUAGGUUGCUGCUCGGCACAACUUUUCCUGUGUGGACAGUAAAUGUCAUUAACCACAUUUCUAUAAGCGGAUGAAUAUGUGACAUUACCCCCCACCUGAAGAACGCCCACCGGGCGGACAGGACCAGGCUUGAGAGGAAAUUUAGCGUGAAAAGCGCGGAUCUUACGGCCCGCAUGCAGGUCAGGAGCCGAAACCCAAGAACGAUCAGCAGGACCGUAACCUUUCCAAACAACCAAGUACUGUAAAGUGCCCCGAGAAAACCUAGAAUCCACGAUAGAAGAUACCUCAUACUCUUCCUGACCACCCACCACCACCGGAGGGGGAGGAACACAAGGAACAGUAUAUCUAUUGCAGACAAGAGGUUUGAGUAAGGACACAUGAAAAGUGUUGGGAAUCCCUAAAGAUGCAGGAAGAGCCAGAGAGUAAGACACUGGAUUGAUCCUACGAAGCACUCUAUAGGGACCAAGGAAUCUGGGGGCAAACUUCAUGCUAGGGACCUUAAGCUUGAUGUUGCGAGAUGACAACCAAACCCGGUCCCCCACUUGGUACACCGGGUUGGCACUCCUACGCUUAUCAGCAAAAUGUUUGAAGCGUUCAGCAGCAGCCCCUAGAGCAGUUUGAACCUUAACCCAGGUAUCCCGAAUGGAGGCCAGACGCUCAUCCAGAGCAGGAAUGGCAGUAUCAGAAAAUACCGCAGGGAGAACCGUAGGAUGCCUACCAUUAUUGACAAAAAAUGGACUGUGCCCAGAGGAGUCAUGAACAGCAUUGUUUCUAGCGAACUCGGCCCACGGGAGUAGUUCGGACCAAUUGUCUUGUGUGCUAUUAAUAAAACAACGCAAAUAAACUUCUAAUGACUGGUUAGCCCUCUCAGCUGUACCAUUGGUCUGUGGAUGGUAGGAGGAGGAGAAGGAGAGAUCAAUCCCCAAUUGUUUACUGAACACCCUCCAGAACCUGGACACAAACUGAGAGCCCCUAUCAGACACAAUAUUGUGGGGGAUGCCAUGCAAACGGACAAUUUCACGUAUGAAAAUUAGGACCAAAUCUUGCGAAGAUGGCAACUUCUUGAGAGGAAUGAAGUGAGCCAUCUUAGAAAAUCGGUCUACAACCAUGAGAAUAGUAGUGAACCCAGCAGAGCUAGGAAGCUCAACAAUAAAGUCCAUGGAUAGGUGGGACCAUGGAAUCUCAGGAACAGGAAGAGGCUGCAACAGGCCACAAGGAAGUGCAUGAGUCACCUUAGAAACUGCACACACAGAACAUGCCUGCACAUACUCCUUUACAUCUUUCCUGAGUGAAUCCCACCAAAAUGAUCUAGUGAUCGCGGCAGUGGACUUAUUGAUGCCCGGGUGUCCAGCAGUUAUAUUGUCAUGGAACACUUUCAUGAUAUUAACCCUUUCACAUAGGGGAACGAACAGUUUAUCACACGGUUUACCACUGGGCGCCUGAGGCUGGGCCUCCAGUAUGGUGCCAAGCAGUGGAGAAGACAGUAAGAGGACAGUAGUAGCAAUAAUACACUCUGGUGGAAUAAUAGGAGAUGUCAUCUGUUCCGGAGCUGACUCAUUAUCAAAUUGCCUGGACAAGGCAUCAGCCUUGGUAUUUUUAGAACCAGGUCUAUAAGUAAUGAGAAAGUUAAAACGUGAAAGGAACAGUGACCAUCUAGCCUGUCUGGAAGACAAACGUUUGGCAUCCCCUAUAUAUGCCAGAUUUUUGUGGUCGGUUAUGAUCAACAGGGGGUCCUUGGAACCCUCCAAAAGAUGUCGCCACUCCUUGAGGGCAAGAAUAAUGGCCAACAGUUCUCUAUUGCCAAUAUCAUAGUUGCGCUCAGCAGGAGACAUCUUUCUGGAGAAGUAGCCACAAGGAUGCAAUGGUGUUCCCUGGCUUUCUCUCUGAGAGAGAACAGCCCCUACCCCUGUCUCGGAUGCAUCAACCUCCAAUAUAAAAGGUUUACUGGUGUCAGGAUGUUUUAGUAUGUCCGCAGAGGCAAAUCUUUGUUUAAGAGUCUCAAAAGCAUUCACAGCCUCUUUGGACCAUACCGUGCUACUAACCCCUUUGCGAGUCAUAUUUGUGAUUGGGGCUAUUACAGAAGAAAAUCCCUUGAUGAAUCUUCUGUAAUAGUUGGCAAAACCAAUAAACCUUUGAAUGGCUUUUAAACCAGAGGGUAAUGGCCAGUGUAGUACAGCCUCUAGUUUUUUAGGAUCCAUUUGAAAUCCCGAUGCAGAGAUGUUGUAACCCAAAAAGUGGACUUCAGGCUGGUCAAAUAUGCACUUUUCUAAUUUACAAUAAAGUUUAUUUUUCAACAACAUCUGCAGAACCUGUUUCACAUGGGAGUGGUGAGUUUGAAGAUCAGGGGAAUACACCAAAAUAUCGUCCAAAUAAACCAAGACAAAUGAGUAAAUGAAUUCCCUGAGUACAUCAUUUAUAAAGUCUUGGAAUACGGCCGGGGCGUUGCAUAACCCAAAUGGCAUUACCAGAUAUUCAUAGUGUCCACUAUGGGUAUUAAAUGCCGUCUUCAACUCAUGAUUCUCUUUAAUUCUAACCAAAUUGUAAGCGCUCCUCUAUCGAACAAUUCGGAAAUGAGUGGAAUAGGGUAUGCUUUUUUUACAGUGAUUUUAUUAAGUGCCCUGUAGUCUAUGCAAGGGCGUAACUCACCACCCUUUUUCUCAACAAAAAAGAAUCCUGCACCAGCUGGUGAGGAUGACUUUCUUAUGUGCCCUUUGCUCAAGGAUUCUUUGAUGUAUUCCUCCAUUAUUUUACUCUCCUGGGGAGAUAAGGCAUAAACUGCCCCCUUAGGUGGCAUAGCGCCUGGAAACAGGUUAAUGGCACAGUCAUAUGCUCUGUGGGGAGGCAAUACAUCGGAUUGAGCCUUGUUAAACACCUCCUGAAGUUCUCGGUAUUGUAUGGGAACUCCAGGAGUUUGGGGAGUGGUAGUGGGAAGGUCAAUAGUAUCCAAUCUCUUUAGUACUGGUUUUAUACAUCUCCCCAUACACUCUUUACCCCAUUCUAAUAUCUCCCCAUUAGCCCAGUCAAUAUAGGGAUUGUGCUUACUCAGCCACGGAAACCCUAAUAUGAUAGGACAUGAUGGAGAAGUAAUAACCUGAAACGUCAUCUCCUCCCUAUGGGAGGCCCCAAUGGAGAUCGUAAUAGGGACAGUUUCGUGGGUUAUAAGCGGUUGUGUGAGUGGUCUACCAUCAAUAGCCUCUACAGCUAGCGGCGUAGGUCUCUCCCUGACCGGUAUCUCAUUACCCCUAAUAAACUGGACAUCAAUAAAAUUUCCAGCAGCACCUGAGUCCAUUAGGGCACUGCAAGAAAACUUCUUGUUAUCAAGGGAAAUAGAUACCUCAAGGAGGAAUCUACUUUUGUUUUUGUUAGAGGACAACUCCAUCACACCUAAGAUCUGUCCCCUUAAGGUUCUUAGGUGCGGAAGUUUUCCGGACGCACUGGACAAUUAGUUAUCAUAUGUCCCUUUCUACUGCAAUAUAGGCAUAACCCCUCCCUUCUCCUAUACUGUUUUUCGGCCUCUGACAGUCUAGUGACCCCCAACUGCAUAGGUUCGGGUUCGGACUGUACAGGGAGGUUAGACAAAACAGGUUUAGAGAAUUGAGGUGCUAGGGACAUAGCCGUACGUCUGGUCUUGCUUCUGGUGACUUCUCUGAGUCUUAACCUAUUAUCAAUAUGCAUGACAAACGUAAUAAAUUCGUUAAGACUCUUAGGUAAUUAUUUAGCGGCUAUCUCAUCUAGUAUAGUCUCUGAGAGACCCUUUUUGAAUGCUGAGAUUAACCCAUUGUUAGUCCAGUCUACCUCGGAAGCUAAGGUACGGAAUUCAAUAGCAUAAUCCGAGAUAGACCGGUUACCUUGUCUGAUGUGCAUUAGGGCAGUGGCCCAAUGGCUCAAACGUGAGCUUGAAUUCGGCAAGGAAUUCCUGGUAAUUAUGAGCUAUGCUCUGAUUACUCUCCCACAACGGAUUAGCCCAGGCAAGGGCCUUGCCCUUUAAUUGAUUCAUUAGAUAACCAAUUCUUGCUCUGUCCGUGGGGAAUGACCCUGGUGAGGCCUCAAAAUGGUACUCCACCUGAUUAAGAAAACCCCUGCAUUCCUGGAUAUUGCCAUCAAACUGUAGGGAUGGUGAUAAGGAGAUGCAAGGAGUCCUAUUAACAGUGGGUGGAGGUACACAGGGUAGAGGUGCUAUAGGAGGAGACGCUGCAGGCUGCAGAUGCUCCGUUCUAGCGAGAAGCGUACUUAAAGCCUGAGUGAAUUGAUCCAUGCGGUGAUCAUUCUCCUCUAAUUUCCUCUCGCAAGCAGCUAUGUGCUGACACAGUUCUACAGGAUCUAUGGCCAUGUCGUAAUGUCAGGAUUACUGUUUGAUCCAGCACGUAGAACUGUACAGCACGGAUGACAAAUAAGUAACAUAUUACCGGUCCUUAGAAUGGCCGGAUUUAACGUACAAAGAAUAGUCAAAAAUACUAGCUGAGGUCAGGGAACACAGAAAGGGACACAGCGAUGAGGAAAGCCAGGAGUCAGGAUACCAGAAUAUAGAGAAGUCAAUAAACAAAGCCAAAGUCAAAAACCAGGUAGAAAACUAUAAACAGGAACGCGCUCUCAGACAACCACAAGGGAAACCACGACAGGGCACUGAGCAGGCUGAGAACUGGGCCUAAAUACCCCUCCUUUAGUUCUGAUAGGCUGUAACCGGCCUUUGACCCCAAAGUCAGUUACCAGGUUUCAUUUGCAUAAUUGCUGCUCAGCAUUAACCCUUCUGUGGAUUAGGUUGCUGCUCGGCACAACUUUUCCUGUGUGGACAGUAAAUGUCAUUAAUCACUUUUCUCUAAGCGGAUGAAUACAUGACACCAGGUUUCAUUUGCACAAUUACUGCUCAGCAUUAACCCUUCUGUGGAUUAGGUUGCUGCUCGACACAACUUUUCCUGUGUGGACAGUAAAUGUCAUUAACCACAUUUCUAUAAGCGGAUGAAUAUGUGAUACUAAGUCCUGGUUCACUACAGUUCGAAAAACACUCACCACAUUUAUUUGGGCUAACAAACCUCCAUGAGUAUCAUACUCAUUACUCACAAAACCAAAGGACAGGGGUGGCCUGGGUCUGCCAGAUGUUGAAACAUACCAUAACGCAAUACUGCUAACCAGAAUAUAUGACUGGACACUCCCACAACCCAGGAAACAAUGGGUGAACUUAGAGGACACCUUUUUCAGAGCACCUAUUUACACGAUACCCUGGCACAAAUCAGGGCAGGUAUUCAUGCUCCACAACCCACAUCCCACAAUUACACCGACUCUCCGCAUGUGGGCAACCCUACGCACGCACGAACUAAUGUCACCUUACCCAUCACCACUAUACCCGCUCACACACAACCCCCUAUUCCAGCCAGGAGUAGAUGGCAAAUCUUUCCAGUCCUUCCAUAAGACGCCAUACCUUACAUUAGGGGAUACCAUGACAACUGUCGGGUCGAGAGUAAUAAAAUCUCUACAGGCAUUCAUAGAUGAUCCCACGACUAUGCAACAAUACCAAUAUAGGCAACUAACACACUUUAUUCAAUCAAAACUACUAACACACAAUGCCAACCGAGAACAGACUAAUUUCGAAAAAUGCCGUUCCCUCCAAUCCAUAAAAACAAAACACAUCUCGACAAUGUACUCCCAGGUCCUCUCCACGAGACCCCAACAAUUGCCGGCCUUCACCACCACUUGGGAAAAAGAGUUAAACUUAACAAUACAGCCUGACAAAUGGAAAAAAAUCUUUAAACAAAUUCAUAAAUCCUCAAAAAACACAACAACGCAGGAAAGCAACUAUAAAAGAAUAGUGCGGUGGCACUACACCCCCUCGAAACUACACUCCCUAUUCCCUGCAACCUCCAAACAAUGCUGGCGCUUGCCAAUCAGCCGUGGGCACCACCUCGCAUAUUUGGUGGACAUGCCCAGUGAUACAAAAAUUCUGGACACGCAUAGCGUGCUUGGUCCACACCAUCCUUAAGAUAACCGUUCCCCUAGACCCAGAUACAUACAUAUUCCUUCUAACCCCACACGGCUUACCGAAACACACGGCGGCCCUGCUCCUACACCUUAUAACAGCUACGAAACAGCUUAUCCCAGCCUUAUGGAAACAACCGAACCCCCCGACCAUUCGCGAAUGGCUAAAAAAAGUGGAAAAAAACAGAAGUCUAGAAGAAACAUGUUAUGCCCUUUCAAAUCAAUACCAACAAUACACAGAGAUCUGGUAUCCAUGGACCCAAUCCCUUCUACAGACCACCUAGAGACCGAGGUCACCUCCCCCCCCCCUCCCAGCAGCUCCAUCUCCCCCUGUCCCCCCCACCUGGGAAAAAAAAAAUUCCAGCUUAUAAGAACAUAGGGAUGUAGGAAAUGUACCAGAACUCCAAUACUACUAUCUCUACAUGUUCAACGCUAAGAUACACCCUCAUGUAUGUAUCCGUACUGUUGAUUACUUAACAAAUGUAACACCGAUGUCUUGUACCAUGUACCUUCUUAUACCUGUCAAACGUAUGUGACAAAACGUUGUACAAUAUACUGACCUUUAAUAAAAAAAAUUUAAAAAAAUGUGCAAACUUUUUCAUGCCAUUGUUUCGCUUGUUUGUAUGUGUACGCUGUUGUGCCGUUUUAACGCUGAUUUGUACUCACCUGCACUACAAAACUAAAAAAUUUUAAAACAAAAUAAACUGUAUGUCACUAUCAUAUAAAAACGAGACAAGCAUGUACCCUUUGAGAGCCAUCGAACUUCUAUGUGUAAAAGUAACCUAAUAAUCUGCUCGUUAUUGUCCUGGCACAGCUGUCGAAACAUUUUAUCACCUUUGGCAUUAGAUUUGAUCUUAUUUACAGCUUUAAUUAUUAUACUUAAUGAUGAAUGGAGACCUGUACUCAGGGCUGGCGCUACCUGUAAGGCGAACUAGGCAGCCGCCUAGGGCGCCGCUUGGGAAGGGGCGCCGCCAGGAGCGCCGGCCCCCCUCAUGCUGCAACCGCCCGAGCGCUCUGUAAAGAGCCUCAGGCGGCUGCAGCUUUUCCCGGGCGGUGCGUCCAUGAGGGCAGACCACACCGCCUGGGCACAGCCUGAGGAGAGGGGCUGACAGGAGCAUGGCCGAGCCCUGUAUAAUGGUCCGCGGGUACAGGGAGCAGCUGUCUCCUGUACCCGGCCGGACUAACAGGAAGUACACACUGAGUGUUCACUUCCUGUUAGUCCGGCCGGGUACAGGAAACAACAGCUCCCUGUACCGGUCGGACUAUACUGGGCUCGGCCACACUACCACACAGGUAGGGGAGGGAGGGGGAAGAAAAGAGAAACAGAGAGGGAGAGGGAGGGGAAAAAGGAGGAGGGAGGGAAAGAAAGCAGAGGGAGGAGGGAGGGAAGAAGCAGAGGGAGGGAGGGAAGAGAAAGAAACAGGGAGGGAGGGAGAAGAGGAAACAGGGAGGGAGGAAAGAAAGCAGGGGGAGGGAAAGAAGCGACAGGAGGGGGAGAAAGAAACGUGACAGGAGAGAGAGAAAAAAGAAGCAGCAGGGGGGAGUAGCGGGGAGAGAGUGACAGGGGAGGGAGCAGGGGGAGGGAGGGGAAGAGAGAGUGGCAAGGGAGGGAGAGAUUCAGCAUCUAUCACACACACAAUCACACACAAUGCACCCACCACACACAAAAGACAAUGAACACUUGCACACAGAAAAACACACAAUGCAUUACACACACACAAUGCAUUACACACACCACCUACACACACUCAAUGCAACGCACCCGCCAUCCCAGCUACACACACAACACAAUGCAUUCCUUACACACACUCAAUGCACCCCUUACACACACUCAAUGCACCCCUUACACAUGCACACACUGCAUCCUGUACAUACACAGAAACACCUUGCAGCCCUUACACAUACAAACACAGAUUCACACAAUGCAUUCCUUACACACAUAUCAGGACAUCCCCUACACACUCCACCCCCUGUGAACAAACUCAUUAGUGGAACAUGAAGGUGGACCCUGGGACCCAGACCUUGAGCUGUGUAAAGGGCCCCCAAAAACUGGAGCUGCUUCUCGUUCUCCCAGAACAUUGAUUUUUGUGACCACAGUUACAAACAGCCUCCAGAGAUCCUGUUAUACACCAGACCAGUGGAGCCAGACUGCAGCUAGAGCCCAUCAUCAUCCUCAUCUGGUUGUAAGUAGGCAAUCUAGUAUAUUAUUCGUGGCACUAUCUCUAAUUUACCUCACAUUAAAUGGACACUAUAGUCCCCAGAACCACUGCAGCUUAAUGUAGUGGUUCUGGUGUCUAUAGCCUGUCCCUGCAGGCCUUUUAAUGUAAACACAGCGGCACUGCAGCACUGCGCUUUACUAAGCGUUAGUGCUGCUUAGAUCAUAUAUAGGUAGAGGCAUUAGCAAUAUCCCUGCGAAAGUAAACUUUACACACACACACCUAAAGCAAAAAUCACCCCACACACACGCCACCCAUCUUUCCACAACCUUAUUUCUGUACGCAACACAAUGAACACAAAUCAUUUAGCACUUUUCCCUUCAGUAGCCAAAGUAGCACAUACAACAAUAUUAUUCAAAGAGUGUAUUAUUUUACAAAGUACUUAAUUUCCACGCAUUUAAAUAACUAAACCAAAAUCCUUUUGUAUCCUAUAAUCAAAUUGUCAGUAAAAUAACAUUUCUUACUUACAAUGCUUAUUGUUUUUUCAUCAAAGGUACCACUUAAAUAUCAUCAGUAAAUCACAUUGUAUCUACAAUGAGAGACUCAUCCAAUUGUAUAGAAAAUUAAUUUUGGAGAAUACCUAUAAGUUUAUUUUCAACAUUAGCCGCCAUUUCGUCAAUGCGUCUCUUUACUGUGUUAUCGCUAAGGGGCAAUGUUUUUAAAACUUCAGGUAUAUCCUGAUGCAUUACUGUUGAGAUAAAUUCUUUGAUAGAGAGUAUUAUCAAAGUUUCUCCAAUAUUAUGGAUUUUACCACUUUUUGCAAUUAAGUGUGAUAUACGAUAAGUUGCAGUUAAAGGACCACUAUAUGCACCCAGACCACUGGAAUGCCAGAUCCAGCUAAGAUUAACCCUUUUUUCUAUAAACAUAGCAGUGUCUGUUCUCAUUGACAGCCGCUAGAGGGCUUCCGCGCUUCUCACUGUGAUUUUUCACAGUGAGAAGACGCCAGCGUACAUUUCAUUUUCCUUCGUUAUGGCAUUGAGAAUGCUUUCCUAUGGACUGGCUGAAUGCGCGCUCCUGCCACGCAUGCGCAUUCAGCCGAGGAGGAGUGGAGGAGGAGAGUCCCCUGCCCGGCGCUGGAGAAAGAGGUAAGUUUAACCCCUUCCUCACCCUAGAGCCCGGCGGGAGGGGGACCCUGAGGGUGGGGGCACCAGAUUAAGAGCCCAGUGGGCCUGGUGCUGACAAUUAUAACGUGCCUAAUUACAGAAUCAUAUCUACCAAAAACAGUGAAACACUCCCAAGCCUCAUGUAUCUGAUGGAGAUGGUGCUGGAGAGAAAGAAAACAGCAGCUAUAAUAAAACACAUACCCUAGGCUAAUCUCUCAAUAAUUUAUGUUUUCAUCUUUCAAGUAAAUCCAUAACCCCUAACAGCAGUGUCCAGUCAAGCAGGAAGUCAAUGGGCAUGGUAAAAGGGUGUGCCACUGACACAAAUCAAGUAACCUGCCAAAAGGGGUAAACAUGCCCAAAAAGAGGAUAUGUCUGCCCAAAGAAUUAGAAGGCCAGUCUGGUAUGCAGCUGGCCAACUAAGGGCAUACUAUGCAGACAGCACCCUGAGCUUGGCAUAAAUGCAUCUAAUGAUGCGCUCGCUCAACGCUUUCUAAGGACUGUUCCUUAGCACUCGCUGGUCCUCUUUGUCACUUGUCUCCUUACCUUCUUACUAGCAGGCAGAAGCUCCUGGUAUAUAGUCUGGGACAGAGAAAAGCUGUAUGUAGUGAGUGUAGAAGAAAGGGAACAUGCCACAGUGUUAGAGAGACCAAAGUCAGUAUUACCUUAAAGGAUCACUAUAGGGUCAGGAACACAAACAUGAAUUCAUGACCCUAUAGUGUUAACACCACCAUCUAGCCCCCCUGGGCCCCUCAUGCCUCCAUAAAUAUAGCAACAUCUUACUGUAUGCAAGCCUGAAGCUGUAACUCUGCAUGCUGUUAGACUCAGAAAAACAAGCAGUCUGCUGACAUCAUUAGAAGUGGUGGCCUAAUCCAAUCAUAGUGCUUCCCCAUAGGAUUGGCUGAGACUGACAAAGAGGCAGAUCAGGGGCAGAGCCAGCAUGAUUCAAACACAGCCCUGGCCAAUCAGUAUCUCCUCAUAGAGAUGAAUUGAAUCAAUGAAUCUCUAUGAGGAAAGUUCAGUGUCUGCAUGCAGAGGGAGGAGACACUGAAUGUUUGGAUGCAUUUUAGGCAGCCAUGACCCAGGAAGGAUCUCGAACAGCCAUCUGAGGAGUGGCCAGUGAAGUUAUCACUAGGCUGUAAUGUAAACACUGCAUUUUCUCUGAAAAGACAGUGUUUACAGCAAAAGCCUGAAGGUAAUGAUUCUACUCACCAGAACAAAUUCAAUAAGCUGUAGUUGUUCUGGUGACUCUAGUGUCCCUUUAACUAUAUUCAUUGUCAACCAGUCCACACAAGUUUUGUUCCCAUACAUCCCUCUUAAGUUUCCAUACUUAAAUAAGAGUAUGUGAAAAGUAGUUAGGGUUGCCACCUUUCUUGGAAAAACAUACCGGCCUUGCUAAUUUGCAUAAUUAAAUAUGUAUGGGUGACAUCACAUGAUAUAAAUCACAAGGAGUGACAUAAGAGAAAAUGCUGUAAAAUCACCAAAAAACUACUUAGUUUGAUUCUGCUGUAUAGAUGGAUUCCUCCCAGUGGCCCCAUGUCUCCCAGUGCCACCAUGUGUCGAUUACUCCAGGUCUCAGUGUUCCUAUGUAUCAGUGUCUCAGUGCCCCAUGUCUCUCAGUGUCACCUAGUGUUGUGUCCCCAGGUCUCCCAGUGAUCCUAUGUAUCACAGUGUCUCAAUGCCCCAUGUCUCCCUGUGUCCCCAUGUAUCCCAGGGUCCCUAUGUCACUAGGAAGACGGGAAGACCUGGGGACACGGGGAGACCUAGGGACACGGAGACACCAGUGACACUGGGAGACUAGGGGACUCUGGCUGGGACGCAUGGGGACACUGGGAAAAUAGGGGACACUUGAAGACAUGGGGACACAGACACAAGGGACACAGACACUAGAGACACUGACUGGGGGACAUGGGGACAUUGAGACACGGGGGCACUGGGAGACAUGGGGACAAGAAGACACCAGCGCCACAGACACUAGGGACACUAGCUUGGAGACAUUGAGACACUUGAGGAACUGGGAGACAUGGAGGCACUAGGAGACAUGGUGACAAUGAGACACUGGCAGACUGGGGGCACUGGGAGACUAGGGGGCACUGAGACACCAGGGACACUGACUGGGAGAUAUGGGGACACUGUGUCCCCAUGUGUCUGUGUCAUAAUGUCUCCCAGUUCCCCUUAGUGUCUCAGUGUCCCCAUGUCUCCUUGCAGCCUUUCCCCCCCAUCCCUUACUUCCCUGAACUGUAGGCUGUCUCUGCAGGGUGGGAGCUGCUGUCUGAACUCUCUGUGCUGUGUAGCUGCACCCCUGCAGAUCAGUGAGUAUAGGUAGGCAGGGAGGGAUAUGCUGGAACUUCCUAACCCUGCCUCUCUUCACACACAGCGACCCCUACUGGCCAGUGGGGGUAUUGCAUAGUAAUCUCCAUUUAUACUGAGAAAAAUACCAGCAUUUGUAUUGCCAGUAUCACUGCAAUAUUGGCACCAGCCAGGCAGCCUCAAAUACUGGCUGUGCCAAUCAAAUAAAAGCCAGGUGGAAUCCCUAAGAGUAGUGUGUGAAAAAAAAAUGUAAAAAAAAAAUUUUUUUUUUUUUUUUUUUAUAAAUCAAUGGGCCUAGUCCAUGGGCCUGGGCCUGGAGCUGCAGCUCCAUCAGCCCCUAUGUUAAUCCGGCACUGGUGCCAGGAAAACUGUUUUCCUGGCACUAUAGUGGUCCUUUUAAUCCAUCCUCAUUCUUUGCAUGUUGUUUUUGAAAUGAUGCAGCUAUUGUUGAACGAUUUUGAAAUCUUUUAUAGAUUUCUUGAAAAUAUUCAAUGGGCUUAUCUUUAUCUUGUGAAUGCUUUGUAGCAAGAUGUUCUCGCAAUCGACUUGGCUUUAUUGCUUCAUUAGAUAAUGUCUUGUAAACACAUUGGAAGCUGUUUAUUUGAAAGAAAUUUUAUGAAACCCAUCUUCAGACAUUCUGGUAAAUAGCCACGAGCAUAUUUCUUUUUUCGGACAUGGGUUCUAAAUUUGUUGCACAAUUUAAUAACUACUUUUACUCUUACCACAUUUUGAUCUGCACUCCACACAGUGUUUUUUUUUUGUCCCCCCUCUUUUCCCUUUUAUUAAAGGACCACUAUAGUGCCAGGAAAACAUACUCGUUUUCCUGGCACUAUAGUGCCGUGAGGGUGCCCCCACCCUCAGGGUCCCCCUCCCGCCCGGCUCUGGAAGGGGGAAAGGGGUUAAAACUUACCUUUUUCCAGCGCUGGGCGGGGAGCUCUCCUCCUCCGAUCCUCCUCUUCUCCUCCCAUGCGGCUGAAUGCGCACGCGCGGCAAGAGCUGCGCGUGCAUUCAGCCGGUCACAUAGGAAAGCAUUCAUAAUGCUUUCCUAUGGACGCUGGCGUGCUCUCACUGUGAAAAUCACAGUGAGAAGCAUGCAAGCGCCUCUAGCGGCUGUCAAUGAGACAGCCGCUAGAGGAAAUAGGGGAAGGCUUAACCCAUUCAUAAACAUAGCAGUUUCUCUGAAACUGCUAUGUUUAUGAAAAAAUGGGUUAACCCUAGCUGGACCUGGCACCCAUACCACUUCAUUAAUCUGAAGUGGUCUGGGUGCCUAGAGUGGUUAUUUAACUGUUUUAUAAACAGUGCUCUAUUAGGUGCCAAUUUUUAUUACAUGUCACCAUAAAUAAAAAUUCCCCUUGUUUUUCUACUUUUCCUGCCUUCUUCUUUACCUUCCUUAUAUUAUAUCAAUAUAUCAGGGGUCUCUUUUUCUUUUUCUCUUUAUUCUCUCCUUCUUUUAUUUUAUAAGAUAACAAAAUGUAACUUGCCAAAACAUGAGCAACUCUAAACACUGCUUUCUCUCCUCCUUUAUUGUAUCACCCUUUUUUUUUUUUUUCUUCAUUAUGGCAAUGCCCAAAAGUAAGGCUGAGAUAGUUAGCCCACUUAUUAUUAGCCAACAACAAUUCUCUCCUUCUCCUGCCUAUUACUUUUCUUUCUCUUUCACAAGUGCUCUGCUCUGCUUCUGCCUGUCCUUGCCCGAUAGCAUCAGCUCCCCUUCCUCUUCCCACGUGUUAAACUUGCUCGUGUUGGUAUGCUUUGCGCAUGCACACGUUCUCUUGUUCGCGCAUACGUGUUUUCAUGCUUGCACGAGUUUGAGCGUAUUCUUACAUGUUCGUGCUUUCAUGUGCACUCGAUGGAAAGAGCAUUCUGCUUGUAGUGCCCACAUGAAAUCCUGAAAUGCCCACUAAUAAGCAGUAGGGACCAGGUUGACGACCCCUGCUUUUCAGAGAUGCUAGUGGAUGCAUGGAAUAGCCUUCCAGCUGAGGUGGUGGAGGUUAACACAGUGAGGGAGUUUAAGCAUGUGUGGGUUAGGCAUAUGGUUAUCCUAGCUAUAAGAUAAGGCCAGGGACAAAGUAAAGUAUUUAGAAAAUUGGGCAGACUAGAUGGACCGAAUGGUUCUUAUCUGCCGUCACAUUUUAUGUUUCUAUGACAUCACUGAAAACAAAGUGUUUUAAAACAGUAAAAUGUAUGACAAGUAUAUCUUUGGUGAAAAGGCAUUUUUAUUUUGGUCAAAAAUGCAAAAACAAAUAUGAACACUGACUUUGGCAAGGGUUUGUGAUUAAGUGGCUACUAAAAUAGACUGGACAUACCCCGAUUUGAAUACCUUGGGCUGUCUACUUUUGCAAAUGGUAUGCCAUGAUGGGGAUAAUUCUCAUUCCUAGGUUGACAUACGGUCUCAGAGGCAACAUAGGCCCAGCAAACCAAUUUGGCAAAUUAAAAUGUGUAUAAACUGAAAUAUGAAAGCUUUUUAUUUGACCCUGUAACUUUCCAAAAUACCAUGAAACCUAAACAUGGUUGGCAUCUUUGUACUUGUAGGACAUCGCUGAACACAAAUAUGUGUAUGUUAUUGCAGUAAUCAGUAUUAUGGCAUUCACAGUUAAAAUGAAAUACCGAACUUUUUUGUAUUUUUUUUUUUUUUAUAGAUUUUAUUCAUAUUACAUAGUGUUCCAUUUCUAAAUAUUUGAUGUGACUGAAAGCUGUGCUUCUCGUGAACAAAAUUAUAUAUAAUAAAUAUGGGUGCACUUAGUAUGAAAAUUGAGUAAAAGGAGGAGGUUCCAUGGCAAGACAAACCUCUCCAUGCAAUGUACCACCAGCAGAUAGUGGAUGUCACUCACAUGGCAACAUCUUACCAAUGGUUGUAAAAGGCAGGACUAGGCAUUAAUCAUAGAAGCAAAGGGACAGGCACUCCAUACCAGAUCAAUAGAAGCAGGUAUCUACCACAACAGGCAAGACCCAAGGUGCAGACUGUGCAAAGGCCUCUGAGACAGUUCAGCACAUAGUGGCCAGUUGCAAGAUGUUAGCAGCAUACACGGAGAGAGAGACACAACCAAGUUGCUGGGCUUGUAUAUCGAAACAUCCGCACAGAAUAUUGGUUGGAUCUGCCUAAGUCCAGAUGGGAGAUACCACAAAGGGUAGUUGAGAAUGACAGGGCUAACAUAAUGUUUGACUUUCAGAUCCAGAUGGACAAGCAAGUGCUGGCCAACCAACCUGACAUCAUGGUGGUAGAUCAGGAAUGGAAGACUGCAGUAGUGUCGGAUGUGGCAAUACCAUGUGGCGAUAACAUCAGGAAGAAGUAACAUGAGAAGAUGGACAAAUAACAAGGACUGAAAGAAGAGCUAGAAAGGAUGUAGAAAGUGAAAACAAUCGUAGUCCCAGUUGUGAUAGGAGCACUCUAAGCUAUGACUCCCAAGUUGGGGAAGUGGCUUCAACAGAUUCCAG
RNAcentral lists this long non-coding RNA (81180 nucleotides) under Pelobates cultripes (western spadefoot toad). Lineage: Eukaryota; Metazoa; Chordata; Amphibia; Anura; Pelobatidae. The record is from RNAcentral.